GUGCAUGUAUUUAUGCAUUCUAUAUAUUCUACAUUUCUUGAGGAGUUUCAGUAGUUUGAGUUUGAAGAAGAAAAGAUGUCUAUAGUUGUGAGAAUUCUGUCGUUGGGAUGGGCUAUCAUGAUGAUUACGAGUAUUACAAAUGUUGCAGAUGGAGCAAUUCCUAAUGAUUUGCAGGAAAAGAUUUCUAUCAUAAACAAUGAUGGUCCUUACUUGGGUAUUGUAGUGCCCAACAGUUUUGAGAUGAACCCUCUUCUCCAAUCUUCAAGUUUUGUUCCUCAUUCCACGCUUUCCUACUUGGAUUUUGCAGGUUAGACAACUAUUCACUUGAAAUUUAAUUUAUUGCUUACUUUGAUUUUGUGUAAGAUGAACUAUUCGGUACCAAACGGUAAAAUAUAAAAAAUAAAAUAAAAUAAAGUGGUAUAAUCUUGUCUAGUGCUCCACACUUUUGUCUAAUGUUAUAAUGGUGAAAAAUAAUUUAUUUAUUCAAACGUUAAUAUUAAUUAACUAUUGAAAACAAAGUUUAGAUACUGUUGUUGUCAAUCUUCUCGUAAUAUGUUUGGUUCUACCAAAUCUUCAAGGAGACAGCAAGAAAUAGCAUAAUAUCCAGUUAUAAUAUUCCAAAAUCUUAUGCUUAUUUUCUUCAUCUUCUGCAUUGAAACAGGAAGAAGAUUUCGAUUUGGAACUUUGGAAAGUCGAAAAGUUAUCAUUGUCAUGUCCGGACUCAGCAUGGUAUGUUCAUUUUUGUAAUACCCUACUUACAAGGAAAAUUCAAUGAUUUAUUUCUUCCCAUUUUUCAGAGGUACAACAUAAUUAAUUUAAAUUAUUAUUUCAUAGCUUAAUGCAGGAUUAGUAACACAGUUGCUGCUUAGUAUAUUCGAGAUUGAAGGAGUAGUUCACUUUGGAAUAGCAGGAAAUGCAAAUCCUAACUUACAAAUAGGAGAUGUUACUAUCCCUCAUUAUUGGGCUCAUUCAGGCGUUAUCUCACUACGUAAAACCCAUCGAUUUAGAUGCUCCGAAAACUAUCAAAAUAAGCUGAGAAAAGCACUAGAUCAUUUUCACGUGUAGUGUAUACUCACAUAUAUUCCCAUUAAAUGACUUUGUUUAAAUCCUUGCGCAAUUUUUUUGAUCAGAGGUUUGGAGAUGGGCCUGAUGAUGAACUUGCAUUUGAAUCUAAUGGAGACUAUACAAGAAAAAUCGGUUAUCUUAAUUUCUCUCAAUAUGAAAAUGGCACAAAAAAUGGGAAUUAUUCAGGCAACCUUCUCAACAAUGUGUGGUAUCAAGCGGAAGAGAUAUUUUCCAUUGAUGGACAACCUGAGAUUAGACAGCAUGCCUUUUGGGUUCCUGUUGACAAGCUGUACUUUUCACUUGCAGAAAAACUUGAGGUUAAUUUUCUACUAUCUUGGCUUAAUCUCUUUUGACACCAAAGUUUAUCUACUACAAUGAAACUUUACUGAAAGACUUACACUAACCACAAAUAUGAUUAGCCCAAAAGAUUGACACAUUUGUUUACUUAAAUUUAGUUUUUAAUUUUCGCUUUUCUGUACAGGAUAUUGUCCUUGAAAAGUGUGUCAAUUCUACUACGUGUUUACCUCGAUCUCCAAAGGUAUUUAGAGUGGAAAGAGGAGUGAGUGCUAAUGUGUUGUUAGACAAUGCUGCCUAUCGAAAUUUCUUGUAUUCCAAGUUCAAUGCAACUCCGGUCGACAUGGAAAGUGCUGGAGUAGCCCUCGUAUGUCUCCAACAAAGGACCCCUUUUAUAGCAAUUAGGGCACUAUCUGAUUUAGCUGGUGGUGGUUCUUCUCUCUCCAAUGAAGCUGCUAUCUUCUCUUCACUAGCUGCUCAAAAUUCAGUUACUGUUCUACUUAAGUUCAUUACCUUGCUGUUUUCGCAACCUCAAGUUAUUUAACUUUUAACCGUUGGUACCAAAAAUAAAGCAGCUGAUUCAGUAGCAUGGGUUGAGAUAAAGGCCCGGUGUCAUUAUGGACACAAUCCAAUAAAGUUAUUAAUCAAUGUUGUUCCUAUUGAAGUUCAUUUUAUAAUGUUUUUCUUAUAAUGUUGUUUAUAUAAACCCCAUAUGGAAUGCAAUUAAGAGUAAUACACAAAUAUCUGCAUUGAUAUUCUAUUAAAAAAGAAUAAUGACGUGAACCAAUAGAAAUCGCCUCCCAAAUGGAUAUAUCAAGAAAUACAUGGCUAGAAAUAUCCAGUACUCUCUAGAAUCCACCAAAGAGAGACAAGAAUUCCAAGAGAAUGACAAAUAUAUCUCAAACAAAAAUAGGUUUAUAUUCAAAUAAUUGUGUUUCUACCUUCAAGGAUUUUCAAGAUUAUAUUUAAAUGAAAGAAACGUCUAUAUUAAGUUACAAAUUCGUGCAUUUAGAUUCCAAAGAAAUUGAAGAAUCAUAGGAACUAUCUUGAACCAGAAAAGAAGUGACUUUUAGCAUCCCCACGAAUAGACUUUUCAACACGACCACAUUGCUUUGAAAUUUUGAGUAGGAAAGUCAAAAAGGAGAUCCAUAAAUUGCUUUGAAAUUUUGAAUUGAUAACCCAAUGAUAUAUUAUUUUAUAUCUAAUAUGUCUCAACAUGUCUCAUAAUUUAGUUGAAGUGACACCAAAAUUCUACACCUUAAAACUCUAAAGCACCAAAUUUGACUUCCUUGUUUACUCUUUAAUUAUUCCAAUUUACUAUUUUUACUUUUAUUUGACAAAACACAAAGUUUUGUUUGAUUUUUGAUCUAAAUUAAACUAACUUAAUGUAUGUUAAUGUAAACAAAAAUCGAAUUAGGUUUUUUGAAUAUGAAGAAGAUAUUAAGGCAGCCAAUUUCAUUUAUUGAUCAACUUUAAUUCCUUAAUCAAGAAUCCGAACUAAAUAUCGUGUUUGGUCUAAUACUUCUAAUGUAUUAGAUUUAUCUAUCUUAAGUUCAAAUUGAUUCUAUUCCAUAUCUUUAUGUGAAUCAUGAUAUACUAAACAUUAAAUUUUUAAGAAUUCAUUUAAUAACUGCAUUAACUGUAAAAUGUAUCUUUAUACUAGAAUCUUGAAAAUUGAAUGAACAAGGUUUCCAUAAACUACAUCAUUUGCCCUAACAGAAAGUUUAGUUUCGCAUAUUGAAUGAAGAAAGGCAAAAUUAUUAGUGAAUAAAUCUCUAGAUUUUGAAUGAAGAUGUAGAAAAGUGUAUGAAUCUUGCACCAAGAUCCUCUUCAAUCAACGCUUCAAAUCCUGGACUUGAUAUCUUGAUUUAUUGCUUUUCUUCUAUGUGUUUCUCUCUAAUUCUUAAUUUGUGGAACAUUUUUUCCUCUCAGUCAAGUCUUUAUGCAGUAUUAUAAUUUUAGAAUAGUUCCCAUCGAAAAAAAUACAAAUAUUUGCAGUUUACCCUACAAUUUUCCAAAGCUUCCAUUUUGGUCCCCAAAAUUGCCAAUUAUCAAUUUUUUUAUCCUUAUUCUUUUGAAUUCAUUCAAUUUCUCAAAACAUGUUUCAAUCGAUUGAUUUCAAUCUCAGAUGGUCUUCAGGUGUUCAAAUUAUUCUCCAAUCAAGUUCAAAUCACCACUUUUUGCAUCAAUCAAACUCAACGUUGAUCUUUUCCUACAUAUCACAUAAUUAGGCAGCAAUCCACUCAAAUUAAUCAUAAUUUAUCAAGAUUAAGAGCAAAAAUAAGCAUAUAAAAUACACUUAUCAACACCAUAAACAUAAACUUUUGUUUGCCUUGAACAAGAUUAUCAACCCAAUACACAUGCAUGCAACAAUUAGCAAGUUAGAUAGUCUAUUGUAUUUGCUUUAGGAGUCGAAACUGUGACUGUCCAAAGUUAACACCACCUCGAUGAUUGAGACAUGGUGAGAAAAUUGGGACUUUUCUGUCGAUUGGUUCUUCUUCUAGAGUGGGUAUAUCUUCUUCUGCAUUCUCUUCCUUUGCUUCUACUACCAAUCUCCCUUGCUUGUGCCGAUUUAUCUGUGACUUUGACUAUCUCGUUAUUGUAAGGCAUAUAAGUGGUGUCACCUUUUUUUUCUACUUCAAAUAGUGUCAUAGGUACUCCAGCUCUUUUCCACAAUGCAGAAAUCAAACUAGGCAUUGUUAGUUUUGUGUGAUCUCUAGGAAACAUAGGACGAUCCCUGAUUGUGUUGAUGAUGAUUUAUCCAAAAUUAAGUUGUAUCUCAUGGCUAGUUUGUACAGAAACGUAAUCUUUAAUAUAUAAAUUACAGUAAUACAGUAUUGUAUAUUGUUGGGAUCAUGUUGCUUGAGAGAAAAUGAUGGAAGAUACAUAGUUCAUCAUUCAUAUUUCCAUGAUCAACUAUGUUGGUGGUUGGCCAACCUUAGGCUUGGCCCUUGAAUAUACGAAUUGCGCUACUGUGUCCUAAUCAAUGGUCUUAGUACUUUAGACCUUUCUUCAAUAUUAUAAUACACUUGAACACACAUAUGUUUUAGAUAGUCCUCGCUUUCUUCCUCUAUAUCAUCUACAUUGAAGCUACACAUGAAUUCGCUUUCUACGUAUGUGUAAACCUUAUUGGGUUUAGCAUACAGUUUGGUCCACCCCUUUUCCCUGACAAUGUUCAGUAUGUUCAUGAGUUGGAUUUGGUCUAGUUGCACUCCCUGUGAAUAAGAGUCCAAUUAUUGAAUAUAUCUGCACAUUGUGCUAGUUCCUAAAAAAUAUAAGUUUCAUAAGACAAAAGCUCGAAUUGAGCCCCCUUUCUAGUGCUAGAGGACUCGAUAAUUCCCUUUCGCUUAUUUGCUCUAAAGAUUGUUGUUCUUGGAGGUAUUGUAAAUGAGUUAUAUCCUACAAAUGUAAAUAAGAUGUUAGGCCAAAUUAUAUUUCAUCAACUUGUAUAAGGAAAAUAUGUAUUAAUGAUAUAUGCAAGGAUGAAGUGAAUAACGUGACUCAAUUGAAAUUUUCAUUAUGUGUGAGGAUUGUGGAGUGGACAAACACCCCCAAACUUAAUGUGAUAUAGUAGCACAAGAGUAUAGGGUUAUAGUAGCUAAAAUUGAAUUGAAAACCUUUUAACUAACACUUGAUGUAUAAGGGAAAUUCUUAGGUCUAAUCCAUUCCUCUCUACAUAAUUGAUAUAUUACACUUGGAACAAUAAGGAAUUAUGGGUAAAAAUUGACAAACACCUAGUUGUAGACUUUCAACAAACACAUUGUGUGCAAAAAAAAAGUUCCAACCAAAAUCCACUAAUUAUCAAUUCUCAAACAAGACCCACAUUCUUCAAUCUAACAUCCUUAAAUCCAAUCCCAACAAACUCCAAUUCAAUGUUUUCCUACAACCAUUUGAAAAAUAAGUUUUUUCAAAAUAGUAGAAAAAUUCAAAAAGUUAUAAACUUACCUUGAAGAUUAUGAAUUAAGUGAAAGUGGAUUUAAAAUACUCUUCUUUUGAUUAAAUCAAAUAAUUUUCCUUGCAGAGUAAGAGAUAAAAGAAGAUUUCUAGUCGUGAAGGGUAGAGUAGUUAGGGUUUUGUGAGGAGAGAAUGAGAAUAUUUCAGGGAAAAGUGAAGAUGAUUAUGAUUUUGAAAGUCUCAUAUUUUUAUGUUGUCAAAUAUUUAUUUUUUAGUAUUUAGUUUAGCCAGUAACAAAAAUAAGAAAAGAAAAGGUCAAAGUUAAAAGGCCUGGAUAUGGUCGUUAGUUGGAAACCUUCUUAUUCUUCUUCUUCUUCUUCUUCUUUUUUUUCAUUUUUUUUAUAAUUUGAAAAAACGUGCAUAUGCAUUCCUAAGUGCUAUAUACAACGUUAUUAUGAAAAAAUUAAAAAGAUUAUAGUUUAAAAUUGCAUUUUCUCUCUUUAGUCCUUGUUUUAUAGUCUUUUAGUUCGACUUUAGCCACAAUCAUUCUGGAACGGCCAUAUCAAGGGUAUCUUUCGUUGUAUGGAAGUCCUCUACAAAAUGUUUGACACUUUGUCCAUUAACUUUGAAGUUUCCCUUUAUUGGAUGAUAAAUUCAAUUGUACCAUAGGAAAUUACUUGAGCUACCAUAAAAGAUAUAGACCAUCUUGAUUUUGGCUUUUCCGAAAGAAGUUUCAAUAUGGAGUUGUACAAGAGAACUUGGUCCCCAUUUCUGAAAACUCGUUGCUGAAUGUUUUUUUCAUGCCAUUGUCUUCUUUAUAGAUAUCUACACUAUAACUGCAAUAUUCUUGUUUUCCCAGCGUUUUCUAAAUCUAUAUUCAGCUCCUUCAGUGUCCAAUAUGCUUUAUGCUAGAAUUCCACGGGUAAAUGACACGUAUUUCCAAAUGCAAACCAGUAUGAUGAAAUCCCAAUCGGUGUCUUUAAAGCAGUACGGCAUGCCCAUAUUGCAUUAUCUAACUUUUUAGACCAAUCAUUAUGAGAUGCAUUCGCACUAAAUUCUAAGAUCCUUUUAAAUUGUCUAAUCAAAGUCUAAGUCUGUCCACGUGUCAAAGGAUUAUUUUUUAAGAGAAGCUCGAACAAUCUAUUUUUUGUACUAUGAUUCACACACUGAAUUGACCACUACUGCAUUUGCUCCAUCUGUUAAAGAUUUUAUUAAUAACUCCAUUUGCUUUGUCAAAACAAGAAUAUGCACAUUGGUAGAUUUCAUGUUGUCCAACUCAUUAAUUCCAUUUGCUAUCUUUGGCACUACUGUUUCAGAUGAAAACAUGAAGUGUGUAGUUGUAAUCAACUACAAUAAUUCCAAAAAAUUGUUGAACUAGUUUACUAAUAAUGGACCCGCUUGCUAAAAAUCUACCUAAGAUCUGAUGAUUUGGCCAUUGGUGAUUGUAUGGCAUAGAAAUACUCUGUUGAUUACCUUUGCUUAUCUCAUGAUUUGGACAAUUUCUCAUUAAAUCUUUGAAUAUAUUCCAACCUUUGUGGUAACUUUCUGCUUCACGUUGCUAGAAUGUAUGGAUUUCAUGUUGAACUUUUGUUACUUUUGUAGGUGGGAAGAAUUUAUUAUAGAAUUUCCUUGCUAAGUCCUCCCAAGUAGUGAUACUACUAUGAGGCUCAGAAUCCAACCACUCAAAAGCUACAUCUCUCAAUGUAUAUGAAAAUAAGUAUAUCUUGAUUACAUGUUCAUUAAUCCCUGUAAGCUGAAAGUUUUGGUAAUUCUGUAGAAAUCUUAACAUAUGUGUGUUCGGGAUUUCAAAAGUAAAUUCUUAAAACUCGAGGAUGUUGCUAUUCAAGUUAAUCCAAUUAGCACUUAUCUGAAAGUUAUUCUUCCCAAAAUCUAGUUAUACAAUACUGGAUAAGUCGAAUGCAGCUAUAGGAGUCAAGAACAUUGACAUUGAAAAGCCUCCUUCAUCUUUCUCAACUAGUUCGCCAUGUUGAAUUUUGGUUCCGCUAUCGUAACGGCUCCUUUGUGCAAUUGGCAAUCUCAAAAUAUUUUGCUCUUCUUCUAUCUGAUGUUCUUAUUUUUGUUUGUGCUCCUUAAGUCUUAGUUUAAAAGUAAGUUCUAUUUUUGGAUCAAAUGAUUCCAGAGUGUUGCCUUAAGAAUGGAGCACAUAACGAACACCUUUUUAUUUGUAAGAAAAAUAACUAACCAAGUAAAAAUAAAACAAUCAAGUAAAAGUAAAACAUAAAAUAAAUAGUCCAAGCAACGGUGCCAAAAUCUUGUUACCUUUUUCCUAUCGCAAGUGUACGAUAUCAAAAAAGUAAUAUAACGGACAUUUGAAUCCAGAUAAUCAUUCCCACAGAAGCUAUUUUUGUUCCUAGUUUAUAAUUUCUACUUCUAUUUUGCGAAAAAAAAAGUUUAGUUUGAUUGUUAUUCUAGAUUAUACUAAAUUAACGUAAUGUACAAAGAAAUUGAAUUAGGUUUUUGAAUAUGAAGGAGACAUUAGGGUUGACAAUUUCAAUAUUGAUCACCUUUAAUUCCCUAACCAAGAAUCUUAUCUAAAUGUUGUGUUCAGUCAAAUUCUUCUAACAUAUUCAAUUUACCUCUCUCGAUUCAAAUUGAUUCUACUUAACUAAGUAAAUUCCAUAUUUCUGUGUGAAUCAAGAUAUUCAUUGGCUAAAAGCAUUAACUUCCUGGAAUUCAUAUAACAACUGCAUUAACUAGAAAAGGCAUAUCUACGCUUUUAUACUAAUUUCCAGAUUGUACUACAUGGUCUAAACCUAUAACUUACCUCACGACAUGUUUAUAAGUUCACAAGAUCAUUGAAUUAUUGGCCAAGAAAUUGAAAUUAUUCAAUAUCAUAAAUAAAAUAAACACAAAUGAAAUUGAGAACAAGAAUCUUGAAAAUUGAAUUCAAGGGCUUCAGUAAAUUACAUUGUUUGCACUAACAAAAAGUUUAGCUACACGUAUUGAAUGAAUAAAAAAUAAAGAAUUAUUGUUGAAUGCAUCGUUGGGUUUUGAAUGAAUAUGUAGGAAAAUGGACGAACUUGCACCAAAAUCCCCUUCUUGUCCAAAUCAAAGCUUCAAAUCCUAGUCUUGAUAACUUGAUUUCUUACUUCUUCUUUUUAUGUGUUUCUCUUAAUUCUCAAGUUGUGGAUCCUGUUCUUCCUCUCAUCAAAGUCUUUAUAUAAUAUUAUACUUUUUAUAAGAGUUCCCUUUUAAAACAAGCUCAAAAGGACGAAAAGAAAAGAAAAACAUACAAAACUAAUCGGGCCACGGGUAGGCUGCAGGUUGCAAGCCAGUAGGCCAAUUGUGGCAUACAAGAUACAACAAUGGCUGCAAGUCGACUGCGGGUUCCACCUAGGGUCCACUUUUUCUUAUUUUCAAAUCGGCCCUCCAAUUUUCAAAACUUUCAUUGUGGUCUCCAAACUUUUUAAUUAUUAAUUUUUUUGUCCUUAAACUUUUGAAUUCAUCCAAUUGCUCCGAAACUUCUUUCAAUUGAUCUAUUUCAAUUGAUGAUCUUCAAGUUUCUAAAUUAAUCUCCAAUCAAGCCGAAAUCACCACACUCAACCUUGAUAUUUUCCUAAAAAUCACAUAAUUUCAGAUAAUUGGGUAGCAAUUCGCUCUAUCAUAAUUUAUCAAAAUUAAAGCCAUAAAUAAGCAUAUAAAACAUAUUAUUAGUCCAAUUUCAUUAGCUUGACACUACUUGUACUACUAGGAGGGUCGAUCAAAACUUUGAUAAAUAAUUGACUCUAUUUAUUUGACUUUUCAUAAGACCUUCAAUCUUUCGACAUUACUAUGUCUCAAUUUAAGUAACGCAUAACAUAACAUUUUGCAUCAUAUAAAAGGAUAUCGUUAAAGGAAAUUUGGUAGGAUUACCUCAAAAAUAUGAAACAAAUUUUGAUGACCACAAACAUCCUUUAACUGAAAAGGAAAUUGCUUGCGUGAAUCCAUAUCUACUAAUUCCAUUCAGAAAUUGAAAUAUUCAUUGUUGACAAUAUCCAUAAAAUAAUUGUCAUGUUUGAAGUUUCUUCAAUUAAGACGUUAUUCUAAAGUUUAAUUGUUUUUUUAAAUAUUGUGCAAAUGAGUUUUCUUUAUUUGGAGCAACGUGCAAAUUCGUCCAUCAUUUUGGCUAAAAUAAGAAAUUAUGAUCCAAGUACACAUCAUCAUCAUACAAAUUUAUGUCUCUAUUUAUAGACAACCACAUGUUUUUUACUUGUAUUUUCAGCGGGGAAAAUAUUGAAAUCAAAGAAUCUUAUUCGUAUCAAACAAGUGUAUGGUUAGAAAACUAUGUCCAGUGGGCUAAAUCACAUUUUUGUUCGGAACUAUGAUCAAAAUGAAGUUAAUAAUACUCUGUUGUUUUUGUAGUAUCAAAUGACAAAUCUCAAGUUUAUUUGACUUAAAUCAAUGAGAUUGAUGGUUAAUGUUAGUCCUAAUCAAGUUCAUUUUACUUCGUUGUCUUCAUAAUGUCAUUUAUGUAAUUGAACAAGAAAUUAAUUCAUUUGUAAUAUCAUUAAUAUAGUAAUACAAAUGUAUGUGUCGCUGAUAUGUUGAAAUAGAAUAAUUCAUGGAGAAACUAAAAUAUAUAGACAAAUAUUACGAAAUUUAUUGAUUUGUGUAUUUUAUACACUUAUCAGAUCCUAAAAUAGCGAUAUUUGAUAGUUCAUUUGACAAAAAUAUAUCAUAAAUUGUUGUAUUUUAUGUCAUACAAGUAAAACUCAAUGGUUGAAUGAAGAGAAAUUGAAAGAAAGAAGCAAGAGGAAUUGAAAGAAAGAAGAAAAAAUUGGUGAAAAAUGUGAAAUCCAAAGUAUGGGGACUAAAUUACAAUAUUCUAAUAGCUGAUUUGGACCAUGAAAUGAAGAUUAAAAAUGUUCUGGGUUUAAUUGUAUGCAAUUGAAAAUUUAAGGAACAAAAUUACAAGAGAGAGUGGCUGAAAUGAAGUAAAAUUAAUGUUUGAAGACUAUAGUGCAAAUAUCGAAAACUUGUGUCAAACCUUAUGAUGAAGAUUCUAGAGUGUUAGGGGUCAAUAGGAGGAAAGAAGUCAAGGGGAUGAAAUAUAGUCAAAAUAUUAUCACAUAUCAACUUUCAAGUAAAAAAGUUAUGCUUCAGACUUUCAGUUUCUGCUUGAAACCAUUUUUGGCAUAGGAAACAUUCAAAUCGGAAAAAUUAUAUUUCUAGAAAAAUUUGGCCAUUGAGUUAUCUUUCCAACACACUUUGAAUCACUUCAAUAAGAUAUUCGGAGAGAAAGAUAUGACUAAAAUUCUAAAGUCUAUCUAACGGAAAGGAAAUUGAACUAUACAAUCGCAUCCUAACAUGCAGGGACAAACUUGGAGCUCAACAAGCGAACUAUGCAGUCGCAUCCUAAUGUACUAUACGAUCACAUAGUACAAGAUUUUGACAGAAUCUCAGAUUUCUUUAUACAAUUAAAACUCAACUUGGUAAGGUUUUGGGCAACAUCUUUGACCUAGAUACGAGUCAUACAUAUAUCAGAACAUCCUAUGUACAUUUAUUCAACAAAAAAACUCAAGAAUUUGAAACAAAUAUGUUGAAAAAGAGAGAAAAUUCAUCUUUGAGGAAGAUUUCAACCAAGGAAUUGCAAGAAGAUCAUCGACGAGACUUUAUACCAAGAAUUUUGCACAAAGAUUAAAAGGAAACCUCAAAAGUUAUCAAGAAUCCAUCAUUUUCUUUAGUAUUCAAAUUCUAGGUGAUGUUUAUUAAACAUAGAAUGAUUUCUUGUAAAUUCAAUAUGUUUGGCUAGAUAUUUGCAUUGCUAGGAUGAGAAGAACACUUGUUAUGAGAUUUUUGGUAUUAAUUAAUUAUUUUGACGUUUAGUAUGUAUGUUUUCUUGGAUGUUUGUUAUUGUUUUCACCGACUUCUCAAUUGAUUAGCUACUAAUUGGGAUGAUUUAUUGGAAUCUAUUGUUAUUGAGAGAGAUAAUAAGUUUUUACCUAAAAAUAAUAAAUAUUGUAAGGUUUGAUAAUAUCUAUACUUUACAUGGUUUUCAUAGGUAUUCUAGAUCAUUUAAUGCAUUUAUCAUGUUCAUAUCUUUUAUCGAGAUAUAGGAAAGUCACAUGAGGGCAAUAAAUUUGAUAACUAUCGAGAGAUGUUUUUAAUUAAAUUAGGAAUAUUGAUCAACAAUAAUGACUACAAAUUGUCGCUUUAUUUUGUUGUGCUUAAAUUGGAUUAGCAAGGGAGAUUUGACAUCCUAGCAAUACUUUCACAUAUUUGAAAAACUAGUUAAAUUGCUUCUAGUUUGAUUUAUAACUUAAGUAUUAGUAUAGAAAACUCAAAACUUGUUCCUAUUCGAUUAAGGCUAUUAUUAACUUGAACUCAAUCAAAUACUUAAUCCUUUUGGGUUUGACACUCUACAUAUUACUAUAUUACUUGUUCAUGAUCCCGUCCACUUACAAGGAAUCAAACGACCAUGGAUAGAAAUUGAUCCUACAAAAUAUGUAGGUAAAAAUUUGUUUGAUAAUCUUAGAUUAUAUUUUCAAAUUUUCUCAAACAUGCGUUAACUUUUUAGCAGAAAAGCUAAAGGCUAAGCACGGUUCAUGUCAAGUUUGGACUAAAGUGUAGAAACCCAGGAAUAAGACAUAUCUUGGAUAACCUUUGUUCACUCGACUACUCAAGUCUGGCACGAUCUACUUGCACAUGUUGUUUGAUUAAUGACAAAAUUUGUUUCCAAUUUCAAUUGAUCCACCUCGAACUUGGUUAUUUGGCCCAUUUUUACACCCCUAGUUGGCAAUAACUUGUUUGUUAAAUGUUAAUAACUCCACAAAACUUGAAAUUACCUCUCAAAAGUAAUUCUAUGUGUUACAUGAAGAAAUGAUUAACUUUCGCAAAAUAAUUCACUAUUUCUUGAUCUAUUGCCAUUGGCAUUGGCAAACUCCAUGAUUUUUUUAGUUGUUUGGUGUAUCUUCAUUUCAUAAGAGAACCAAAAUGAUAGGAAAAGAUGAUUAUCACCUUUCAUUGUUGUGUUUUAAUAUUUACCUAAUGCAUUAUUUUAGUCAAAAGCACCUAUGAAAUUAUUUUAGUUGAACAGUAACCAAACAACUUAGCAUUUCUAUUAGGUAUUUUAAUAUCAAAUAAACUCAGGACAAUAAUGAAAAAUCAGGUCGGAUUAAUUUCAUAGGAUUUGAGCCAAAUUAUUGAACAUUGUUUAAAGAUUGACCUCAGUAAUAAUUGGCGGGCCAUAAUCGAGAUGGAUGGAGAAUCCCACAAGUGUCAAUUAGAGGCAACUAGGGCUUGACCUAUUUAAUAUUUACUUGGGCCAUUUAGAUGACCUACCCUCUACUGUUUGAGAUAAAGAUACGCUACAUACGCUGCUUUCCUUCCUUACCUCUUACUGCACAAUUCUCUUUGGUUUUCUUUGUGACCUUAGCCCUACAACCGGUAGCCCCUGUUUGCGGGCCGUUGGGAUUCUUGGGUCCAAUUGGUUAUGUGAACAAAUAGAAAUCUCCGCUCAAAUGUAUCUAUCAAGGAAUGCAUAAUUAGGAAAACUUAGCACUCUCUAGAAUCCACCAAAAGAGAUGCAUGAAUUUAUAGAGAAUGAUUAGUACCUCUCAAAUUAAAGUAGAUUAAUAUUCAAAUACUUUCGUUUCUACCUUCAAGGCUUAGAAGAGUGUGAUUUAAAUAGUCGAGACUUGGAACAACCUUCCAAACAUAGGCAUUUUCGUAAGAAUUCUGAUAGGCCCUUGUCAAAUACACCUAUUCUAGAAGGGUCAAGAAGGCGGUAGAGGACUUGGGUAAGUGUAAGUGUACAAGCAGCCUUCCACCCUAUAUCCUUGGAGGCAUAACCUGCGAUUUAUCUCCCUCACGAUGCUCCAGGGCAGGGGCGGUGGGGGACCCUUAAGGUUGGGGUUUAACCUUUUAAGAAGGCGGUAGAGGAGUAACAAAUUCUGUUGAGCAAAGAUGACAUGGCUAGAGUUAGUUACAGAUGAUGGUUAUAAAUAGAAUAGAUGCAUGGAGUCAAGGGAUAUGGAAAAAGUUUGUAAGCAAGUCUUAAUAGGAAAGUCAGGCCCUCUCGAACGGCCUCUACCAGUUACUGUGUUUGAGUUGUAUUUCUCAUUCAAUCAAUACAAUUAGUUUUCUCUUCCUAUUUUUCUCUUAUUUUUCCUUGAUUUUACAGUAGGACCCUAUCAUUGUGGCAUUAAAGCACCCUGUUCCUUUCGCAGUCAUGACUCUGGUGGACUAAGUAAGUGUGUUGGAACAAAAGGUGGACUGUAAUCAUCGUCAACUACAAACUAACCUGGAGGUAUUAUGAUUAGAGUUUCAUUCAAUGCAUACAGGCAUUAUGGAGAAGGUGGAUGUGCUGCUACAAGAUUGGGCAAGCCAGGAGAGAGAUUGCAAGGAAAAGGAGAUGGUAAAAUUACUAGCAUCAUCUGUCGAGUUUGGGCCAACCUAUUCCAGACCAAGUAGAAGCCAAUACAAGGGAGAUGGAGCUCUAGGAAAUUGGAGAGAAGAGUGGUGCGUAAGGCAUUUGGAUAUGCCUGUGUUCGACGACACGAAAUCAGAUGGUUGGAUUUUAGGGUGGAAAGAUAAUUUGGGAUCAACACGAUGAUCAAAGAAGAGAAGAUGGAUGCCGUUGUCGUAUGUUUGGACAAAGAGGCGUUAAUCUAGUUUAAAUGGGAGGAGAAAUGGUGGUCGAUUCGAAACUGGGAGGAGAUGAAGCUAAGGCUGCUACGACAUUGUCGAGCUUCACAAGAAGGGAAGUUGUGUGUCCAAUUUUUGGUAGUUAGGAAAGACACCACAAAAAGGUCUUAUCACCAGGGACUUGAAAUGUUGGUUGCACCCAUUGAACGGUUUAUCGAAGAAAGUGCUAGAAGAAAGUUCUAUGAAUGGGUUGAAGCCAAAAUUGAGGACAGAAGUCCAAUUAUAUAGGCUUUCUGGGCUGGAAAAAUGAUGGAAAUAGCCCAGAUGGUGGAAGAAAGAAAUUGAGUCGUAAAGGUUGGACAGUGGAGCCUAGGUCCAACAAAAUCUAAAGCAAUCACUCCUCCUAAUCCAAACUCCUCCUAAAGUCUUAACCCAAUACCCAAGCCCACCAUCCCUCUUAAUAUCAUCCUAAAUCAUAUGGCCGUCCCUAGUUUAUUCCCAAAACAGACCGUUCCGUUCAAACGACUCACAAAUGUCGAGGUACAAACUAAGCGUAAAAGGGGAUUAUGCUAUCGAUGUGAUGAAAAGUUUACGAUCGGCCACCAGUGUAAGAAUAAGGAGCUCCAAGAGCUUGUGAUCAGAGAGAUAAAAGUCACGUCGGAGGAAGAGUUGGCACACGACAGCAGUGAGGAAAGGGCUGUAAUUGGGAACACCGAAGUAGAAAAGGCUGAAGUAAAUCAGGCCAUUGAGCUGUCAAUUAACUCGGUUGUUGGACUCACCACUCUGGGAACGAUGAAGCUGAACUGUAAACUCGGCCAAAGGAGGUAGUUGUACUUAUUGAUAAUGGAGCAUCCCAUAAUUUUGUCAGUUCUGAAAUUGUUCAAUACCUGGGCAUUCCUUCGUCUGGAACCCUACGGUAUGGAAUGAUUAUGGGGAUGGAUCUCACUGUAAAAGGAGAAGUUGUAUGAAAACAGAUAUCUCUGAAGUUACAAAACAUGCUGGUGGUAGAGGACUUUUUACCCUUGGGGUUAGGGAGCUUGGAUGUCAUAUUGGAGAUGCAGUGGCUGCAAAAUUGGUAAGGAUGCAAGUAGAUUGGAAUACUUUGACGAUGACUUUCAACACAGCAGGAACCACGAUGACCCUUCAAGGAGACCAAAGUCUAAGUAAAACUCCAGUGUCACUAAGAAUGAUGUGAAAGUUUUUAGAGAGCAAGGAGAAGGGCUCUUGUUGGAAAUGGAAAAAAUCAUUAUUGAGGCCAAAAGAGCGCCUGAGCCACAAAAAAUCAUUGUCGAGGUAUUGAAGGAGUUUUCUACAUUUUUCGAGAAUAGCAGUAAGUUGUCCCCCCUCAUUGAGCUCAUGGCCAUUCUAUCAACCUACAAUCAGGAGCAGGCCCAAUUUGCACGAGGCCGUAUAGAUACCUGUAAUUCUAGAAAAAUGAAAAAUUGAGAAUUUAGUACCAAAAAUGCUUUCUAUAGGAGUUAUUUAGCAUAGCACAAGUCUAGUGCUCCUUGUGAAGAAAAAGGACGAGAGUUGGAGGUUUUGUAUUGACCAUCUGGCAAUGAUCAAGGUGACCAUUGUAGACAAAUUCCCAAUUUCUGGUCAUUGAUGAGCUGUUGGUUGAGCUACAGGGAUCAACCAUUUUUUUUGAAAAUUGAUCUAAAAUCAGGGUAUCAUCAAAUUAGGGUGAAGACUAGAGACAUUCCAAAAACUGUAUUCCACACUCACGAAGGCCAUUAUGAAAUCCUAGUUCUGCCAUUCGGCCUAAAAAAUGCAUUGGCAACCUUCCACCCUUUGAUGAACGAUAUAUUCAAGGUGCAAUUCUGAAGAUUUGUUCUAGUCUUUUUUGAUGAUAUUUUAGUUUAUAGCCGAACAGUAGAGGAGCACCAGGAGCAUUUGAGAUGGGUAAUACAACGGUUAGCAAAAUAUCAUCUAUUUGCCAAUAAAAAAAAAUGCUUGCUUGGUCAGAAAGAGCUAGAAUACCUCAAUCACAUAAUUUUAGGAAAGGGGGUAGCAGCUGAUGCAUCUAAAGUGGCCGCAACGGUAGCUUGGCCGUGACCAAAGUCCCUUAAAGAACUACGGGGAUUCCUUAGUCUAACAAGGUACUACCUGAGGUUUAUAAAAGCAUAUGGGAAGAUAGUGUGGCCACUAAUGCAACAAUUAAAGAAGGAUAACUUUGGAUGGAGUGAUGAGGUGGAGGCUGCUUUUGAGAGUGUGAAGAAGGCCAUGGUUUUGGCCCUAGUAUUGGCGCUUCUGAAUUUUUCAAACCUGUUUGUGAUCAAACCAAUGGAUUCAACCAUGGUUUGGGGGUGGUUUUGGUGCAACAUCAAAGACCCAUCACCUAUUUUAGUCAAGCUCUUCCAUCUCGAGUCCGUAGUAAGUCCAUUUAUGAAAUAAAGUUGAUGGCAAUCAUAUUUGCUGUGCAAAAAUGGAAGCACUAUCUGACUGGGAGGCAUUUUGUAGUCCAAAUUGAUUAGAAGAGUCUCAAAUUCUCAUUGGAACAACGACUAGUGAAUGAAGAACACCAAAAGUGGUUAACUAAGCUGCUGGGAUUUGAUUUUGACAUAGAAUACAAGCCUGGUUGGAAAAUAAAAUAGCAGAUGCCCUGUCCUGCAUUAAGUUAGCUACAACCUUGAUUACUCUUAGCAUACCAUGUGUACUACAGCAAGAUGACUUAUCAAAGGCAGUGAAGAAAGAUCCAGAGUUAACCCAAAUUCUCACAGCAUUACAAGCUGAUCUGUCGUCAUGCGUAGGGUUUGCACUGAUUUGGGGUGCACUAUUAUAUCAUGAAAAACUUGCCCUUCCUAAAGAUUUUCCAUUUGUGUUGUUAGCAUUACAAGAGGGACAUGAUAGCAAAAUUAAGUGUGAUGGGGGUUUCCUCAAGACAUAUAAAAGGAUAGCCAAAACAUUCUAUUGGAGAGGCACGAAGAAGGACAUUCGGGACUAUGUGGCAGCUUGUGCCACUUAUGAACAGAACACAUAUUCUACUCUCAUGCUUGUAGGGCUGCUUCAACCUUUAACAGUGCCAGAGGGAGUUUGGGAUGAUAUAUCCACGGAUUUUAUCGAAAGGUUGCCAAAAUCAGAUGGUUUUAACUCAAUCUUGGUAGUUGUGGAUCGUUUGAAUAGGUAUAUCACUUUGCGGAUCUCAAAUACCCCUUCUUAGUACCUUUUGUGGUGAUAGUUUUCAUUAAGAAAUAGUUCGAUUGCACGGCAUGCCACGAUCGAUAAUCUUUGAUCAUGACAAGGUGUUUGUCAGCAAAUUUUGGAGUGAGCUCUUUCAGUUGCAAAGCACUAAGCUAAGGUUGAGUUCAGCCUAUCACCCGUAAAUCAACUGUCAAACAGGGGUAGUCAACAGAAGCGUCGAAACAUAUUUGCGUUGCUUUACUUUUGGCAGGCUCGAGGAACGGUUUCAUUUUCUAUCAUGGGUGGAACUGUCUUAUAAAACCUCUUUCCAUGUGUCAACUCAAUUAACACGAUUUCAGAUCUUGUAUGGCCGGGAUCACCACCAGUCAUCCAUUUUGAGAAGGGGUCUAUCGUGGUAUCAUCACUUGAUCACCAGCUGCUAGAACGAGAUCAGUUAUUGGAUGAGCUAAAGAAGUAUUUGCAGCGAGCUCAACAAAAGAUGAAAGCUGCAGCUGACCAGCAUAGGAGGGUUGUUGAGUUUGCAAAUGGAGAGCUAGUCUAUCUGAGAAUGAGGCGCUAUCGUCUUAAAUCAUUAGCACAAUGUUUGAAUGAAAAGCUUGCUCCCAGGUACAAUGGGCCUUUGUAAGUGUUAGCAAAGGGUGGGCCAAUAGCUUGUAGACUGAAACUACCACUUGAAUCCUAAAUUCAUCCAGUCUUUCAUAUCUCUCAACUCAGAAACGCUGUGGGAAAAUUCCAUCUACUCUCCCACAAAAGCUAGGAGUAGAUUGGGAGUUAAAGGUAAAACUUGAAUCUCUAUUGGGAAUUCGUUCUGUACCAUUGGGCGAUAUUGAUAAGAUGGAGGUACCGAUUAAAUGGAUUGGGCUAUCACCAUUGGAAGCAACUUGUGAACCUUUUGAGUUCAUUAACCAACAAUUUCCUUCUUUCCACCUUGCGAACAAGGUGACUAAAUUGGGCGGGGUAAUUGAUAGGUCCCCUAUCAAAUACACCUAUUCUAGAAGGGUCAAGAAGGCAGUAGAGGAGUAAAAAAGUUCUGUUGAACAAAGAUGACAUGGCUAGAGUUAGUUACAGUUGGGAGUUAUAAAUAGAAUAGAUGCAUGGAGUCAAGGAAUAUGGAAAAGGUUGUAAGCAAGUCUUAAUAGGAGAGUCAUGCCUUCUUGAACGGCCUCUACCAGUUAUUGUGUUUGAGUUGUAUUUCCCAUUCAACCAAUACAAAUAGUUUUCUUUUGCUAUUUCUCUCCUGUUUUUCCUUGAUUCUACAGUACGACACUCUCAAGUUCUUAUAAAUUUUCCAAGAUCAAAUUUAAAUGAAAGAAAUAUGCUUAUUAAUUUAUAAAUUCAUGCAUGCAUAUUCCAAAGAAAUUGAAGAAUCAUAGGACCUAUCUUGAACCUGAAAAGAUGUGACUUUUAGCAUUCUCACAAUUAGAAUUUUGAACAUGACCAUUCUAAAGGAAUACAUCGACAACUUUGCUCACGAAAGUCAAAAUCAAUAUCCAUAAAAUGCUUUGAAAUUUGUAAUUAAUAACCAUUCCAAUGGUAUAAUAUUUUGUAUCUAACAUGUCACACGGUUUCCAAAAUUUUAUAACACAAAAAUUCUGCACCUUAAAAAUCUAAAGAAUUGAUAAAAGAAAUUAGACUUCUUUUGUUUGAAGUUUUUAAAUAAAAAUAAAGCAGUGAGCCAUGCCUUAAUUUCCGCCUAUUCUACCUAAGUAAACUUUAAUUACUCCUCAUCGUGAAUCUUAAUGCAUAAGCUUGACCCUACUUGACUACUAGUAGGGUCGAUCAAGACUUUGGCACAUAAUCAACUCUACGACUUUUUGAUCAUUAUUCAUUUGACUUUUCUUAAGAUUGUCAAUCAUUUGACACUGCUAUGUCUCAAUUUAAGUAACGUAUAACAAAAGUUUUUAUAUCAUAUAAAAGAGAUCGUUAGAAGAAAUUUGAUUGGAUUACCUCAAGAAUAUAAACCAAAUUUUGAAGACAAACAAACUCCCUUUAAUUGCAAAUGAAAUUGCUUGUGUAAGGCCAUAUCUAUGGAUUCUAUUCAGAAAUGGAAUUAUUCAGUGUUGACAAUAUCCAUAAAAUAAUUGUCAAGUUUGAAGUUUCUUCAAUUAAGAUGUUAUUCUAACUACUUAAUUGUAUUUUAAAUAUCGUACACGAGUUUCCUUGAUUUGAAAAAAUGUGCAAAAGCAGUCCAGCAUUUUGUCUAAACUAUGGAAAUAUAAUCCAAACCAGGCAUCAUCAUACAAGUUUAUAGUUAGAAAACUAUAAAGUAUGUCCGGUGGGCUAAAUUACAUUUUAGAGCCCAAAAUGAAUUUAUAAUAUUGUAUAUAGGUUCGUUAUUUCGUUGUUUUCAUAGUGUAAAAUUACGCAUCUCAAGUUUACUAGCUCGACUCAAUUAAUAAGGUUGUUAGUCAACGUCGUUUCUAAUCAAGUUCAUUUUAGUUUUAGUUUUCAUAAUGUCAGUAACGUUAUUGAACAAAAACCUAAUCUCGGACUUAUGAGUCAGGUUUUAACCCUCAUUUGUACUAUCAUUAAUGUAGUAAUACAAAUGUAUGUAUCACUAACAUGUUGACAUAGAAUAAUUUGUGGAGAAACUAAAAUAAAUAGAACAACUUGAUAUUGAAAUUGUUAGGUAUUUUGAUGCCAAAUAAACUCGGGGUGAUGAUGACUCCUCGAAUAGGAUUAAAAUCAUGUGAUUCAUUUGGAAUCUAUUAUUAAGACUAUAGUUAAUAGUCGACCCGAAACACAAACUGAACGCCCACGAAAGAGGUUGCAAGGAGUAUUACAUUUAGGGCCUGACCCUGUGCCCCCUCCCACCGCUUCCCUUGCCGUUGUGACAUGAACAGAUAUUACACACAAUUUAACCUUCGAGCCCCAUUUUAAGAGAAACUUACGGCUACUUCCUUGUGAUCCAUCUUCUUCUCUCCAUUUUUGGAUCACCAUUACCUACCUUGUGGUUGGCACUUUGGCCGUUGUGUUAGGUGUAAUAAAAAAUGUAGCAAUAUAGAACAAAAGUGAACAAGAAGAUGAAUACAAACGAAAGAAAACUUGAACAUGAAAAUAAUGUCGUUGUCCUUAAAUGAUAUUUGCCUCCUUCAUAAUGCUCUUAAGGAUUAAAAUGGCAAAUUGUUUGUAGGAUUAAUCAAGCCUCAAGAAGAACACUAAAAGCAAAGUAUUCUUCAAAUGAACAAGUGAAAAAGAAGAAUUUGAUUAUGUAGAGGUACAAAAUUUCAUAUAAAAUUGGAUGAAUAGUAGAGUAAGUUUUUCAUGUAUUUUUGGAAUAAACACAAUAUAUAUUUAUAGAUUUUUAUCAUCCUUACACGAAAAGGUUCCAACUCAAAUGAAUAGGUACAUGGAUUCACCAAGAAAACUACCAGAAAUUCGAAAAAAAAUUCCAGCCAAUGAUCAUAUUUUUCAACUAUGCGACCACAUAGGCUAUAGCUAUCCGAUCGCAUAGUUAUAGCUUUGGCCACCUCCAAUAUUUCUACAAUACCACAUGGGACCACAACCUUUAGAUGCUUAUGCGGUCGCUUAGACCAUUUUGUGGCCUAUUUGUUUUUUCUUUUCUAAAUUCAUCCACUCAUUUGAUAUUUUGAAUAACCAAUUUACGACAAUCUCCCACUUGUUCAAAAUCACUAUAAAUCACAUAAUCAAGUAUCAAUGCUCAUGCAUAAGUAUUAGAUGUCUUUCGAUUUGAAUCUAACCAUAGUGUAAAUCUCUUAAAGCAUUAUCAAAAUUCCAAGUACCUAUAACGCUUUGAACCAGUUUUUCUUGUGACAAUAACGAUGAAAUCACACUCACAAAUGUUAAAAUUUUCACAAGUUCCUCUAACUUACUUAGUGUUAAUAUGACCUUGCACUUUUCCUUUUUCAUUGAACCUUUAAAGAGAAAAAAAUUUCAAUUCUCUAAUGAGUCGGCAUCACCUUGAAGUUCACAUAGUUGUAUCUUUGUUACUUUUAAAGAUACUUUGUACCAUCCAUCCAACAGUAACAACCAAUACUAUUUACCAAAGAUAGGGUUUAACAAUUUAAAAGUGUUGAAAUCUAUCCACUUAUCAAAUGAUUUGUUAUUACCCCUUGAACCUAAAUAUACUUAUUUAGUAUACUUUUGCUAGGGUUGCUAUCAUUGGUGGACCUAUUUAAGGAGUUUCAACCCAUCCUGCUUGAUGUCAAUCUUACUAAUUCUCUCGUGAGAUGUUUAGUAAAUGGGUAAGCUAAGUUCUCACUAGACUAAACAUAUGUAAAAGAAACUAUUCCAUGAUUGAUUGAUUUCCUUACAUACUCGUGUCUUAGACUCAUAUGUCUAGACGUUCCAUUAUACACUUCGUUAUAUGUUUGAGCAAAAGUAGGUUGACUAGCACACAAAAUAGGUAUUAAAGAAAUAUCUUUUAUAUCUAAAGGAAUUUCAUAUAACAGAUCUCUUAGCCACUCACCUUCUUUUCCAGUUUUGGCCAGUGCUACAAAUUCUGACUCCAUGUUGAGAGAGUACUGCAAGUUUGUUUCUUAGACAUCCAAGAAACUACACCUCCUCGAAGAGUAAAUAUGUAAUACCCCCAAAUCUAGAUACCUAGAUUUUGAAGUAUUAUCAUUUCAUUUCCUCUUAAAACCAUAAAAGUGGAGGCGAUUAAAUUUUUUCUUUAAUACGAUGAACAUCAUUGACUUCAUUUAUAAACAUAACUUGUAAAAAACUUUUGUACUUAAAUAAAAAAAUAAGAUUAAAUGUUAAUUUUACUUUCUAAAAGAAGUCAACAUUAAAUGUCUUAAUACUGAAUUUAUCACAAAUAGUCAUCUCGAAUCAUCUUGUCUUCAUCAUCUGAAGAUGGAGAGGGAUUACGUGGGAUGAGCUAAAGCUCAGUAAGAACACCUCAUGUAUAUGAUUACACAUGAAUUACUUUAAGAUAAAAACAUUUUUCAAUAUGUAUCCCUUAUUUUCACUACUUUAAAAACUUGACAUUUUGAGCUCACUUGGUGUAUCGCCUAGCGAAACAAAAUGCAGUGGAUAAUUAUUAUUUGGAACCCGGUCGAGUCCUACCGGUAGUACCGUAAAGUGGUUAAAAUUAAUAUUGUCGUAGAACAUCGAUUGGGUGCGCGGGUCCCCUACGUCCCAUUUCCCACUCACACUUUUUAUGACAUAAACAUACACCUCGUAAUAAAAAUCUUAGGAAUAUAUAUCUUUAAAAAACAUUCAUUGACUCAUGACAUUUGAAAACUUUUUGUUCCUUGAAAUUUCAUGUAUGUUUAUGGAUAUAUUGACGUACAUGAAUAUGUCAUGAAAAACAUUAAUAACAUAAAAGGUAAUAAUCAAAUAUCAAGAUCACGUAAUAACAGAUUUUGGUAACAUAUAUAUAUAUAUAUAUUUAAUAAUGUAACGUGGGCAUGAAGCUUAUGGGAGGUUUACUUACCUGAAAUCCUUAACAAUUUACUUUUAGCAUACAAGAAAUGGAUGUUUGUAGCAGUCCACAAGAAGAACUUGCUGAAGAGUCAUAAAUCAAUACCAUUUAAUAAGAAAUUUUUAGAUACUUAAUGUUUAUAACUUUAUAGACAUCUCCUUAGAUAUCAAUACCCUAAUUUUUUUUUACAUAUUUAUUUAUAACUCGUAGAUAUACAAUUACAUAUGUAACAAUACAUUACAUAGACGAUUUUAAAUGGGAGCAAGCAAUAAACAUUGUGGUGUGCAAGUUGUGAAAAUAAGACUACAUGCCAAGGUUCAUUUACUUCAUUAUUUCACACUAACCAUAUAAUAAAUAGCAAUAAAUUAUGAAUAUAAACUAUUAAUUAUUCUAGAUGUAAACACAUAUAAACCAGAAUGUCUCCAUGUUCUAACUAUUAUUAAUAGAUAAUUUGUAUAAAUCUCAGCUUAUAAAUUCAUAACAUUUGAAUCUCAACAAUUUUCAGCAAAGCGUGUACAUAUUCACGUGGAUUCAUUUUUAUAUGAUUUUAUAAGGGAGAUUUAUAAAAUUAUCUAUUAAUAAUAGUUAAGACAUGGAGACAUUCUGGUUUAUAUGUGUUUACAUAAUCUUCUAGAAUAAUUAAUUGUUUGUAUUCAUAAUUUAUUGAUAUUUAUUAUAUGGUUAGUGUGAAAUGAUGAAGUAAACAAACCUUAGCACGUAACCUUAUUUUCACAACUUGCACGCCACAAUGUUUAUUGCGUGCCCCCUUUAAAAUUGUCUAUGAAAUAUAUUGUUAAAUAUGUAAUUGUAUAUCUACGAGUUAUAAAUAAAUAUAUUAAAAAAUAAGGGUAUCGAUCUUUAAGGAUAUGUCUAUAUGGUUAUACAAAUUAAGUAUGUCAGAAAUUUCUUAUUAAAUGGUAAUGAUUUAGGACUCUUCAGCAAGUUCAUUUUGUGCAUUGCUACAAACAUUUGCCUUGUAGGCUAAAAGUAAAUUGUUAAGGAUUUCAUGUAACUAAACAUCCCAUAAUCUUCAUGCGCACAUUACAUUGUUAAAUAUGUAUAUAUGUUACCAAAAUUUGUUAUUACGUGAUCUUGAUAUUUGACUAUUACGUUUUAUAUUUGUUAGGUUUUGAGUUGGCAAUCAAAUUGUAAAUGUUAAAAAAUUAAGGGUUAAAUUGUCAAUAUUUAAAUGUCAUGGGUCAAUUUUUUUGUAAAAGUAUGUUAGGGUUUGAGUUUGGGAAAAAGGGAAGAAGUGUCAUCAAAGUUUCGCUAGCUUCUCGCCAAGAGAUUGUUCGAGCGUAAAAAACAGAGACCUCGUCGCCAGCUCAUCGCCCUUGGCCUACUCAAGUGGAACAACGUCACUUGCUUUUUGCUAGAGUUUUGCUGGGGCGAUAGGUUUAUUUGGAGAAACCCUAUUUUGUGAUUUUCGAAAUUUUUCCUCGACCCACACUACCCAAAAUGUGUCCUAUAUAUUCGAUUGAGCCGUAUUCGUCCAUUCUUAGAGGAUUGAUCUUGAAGAACACAUCCUACUCUUUUUUUACAUUAACUCAAUCCCACUAUCUUAUUGGUGCACUCACUCAAAAACAUCAAAUCCACAUCCAUCAAACACCAAAACCUGUCCUUCUAGAGAAUUUGUUAGAGUUGAAGAUCAGGAAGGAGAUAGAAGUUAUGUUCUUUGAAGAACGGGGAGUUCUUAGAAAUUCACUAAAGAUAGAUGAAACCAAGAGCCGAGAGUUGGUGCAAGAGCACGAAUUCUAGGAGGGUUUUAGGGAAUUAUAGUCAAGAGGUUAGGAUAAAUGAGUGUUGUUUGAGUUUGGCAGACUGUAAGUUGAUUUUUCAGUUAGAGUGGAUUCAUACUGUCUUGGGCCUAGAGUUUUUAAUCCUGCAAGGGGUUUUCUCCGUCAUCGAAUUGUUAUGCUCUUUAAGUUUCUACAAUUUACUAUUUUGCAGCAGUUUAGCAUAGGUCAGUAAUGCAUGUGAAUCAACUUGGACAAAAUUAAUAACUGUGACUUGUUGCAAUUAUUAAUCAGUCAUUUAAAAUUCUCCACAAACACCUAUUUACCUCGUCUCAAUGUUAAUUGGGUCAAACUAUGUUAUUUCAAGUGGUAUCAGAGCCAAACCUCGAGCCCUGGAACAUGUCGGCCUACUGCGCUUUCCAUUAAGGUUCAGGGCAUUUUACUGAUGAAAUCAGUGUAUGACGCGUUAUACUACUAGCUCCUUGGCUAGUGGGCGAGGGAUGAAGUAUAUUCGACGAAGCUAUUCUUUCAUUUAAUUGAUUGCAUUACAAUGAAAGACAAUCUCAUGGUUCCUUCUCCUCACGAAAUGGAUUUGAAGUUCUUUGCCUCGGGUCAACGAACAGGUAAGAAUAGCGCUUUAGGUCGUGAGUACGUUAUGCCCGUUAUCACUCAAGCAACUCUAGCUCAAAGUAGCUCAAGCAUAGCUCUUUCUAUGGCUCUAGACUAUUCUGAGCUUGUAAACCAUAGGAGCCGAAAAUAGUUCCUCUAAUGAAGGAUCUUUCUGCGUUCAAUCACAUCUUACGCUUCGAGCAGGACCAUGCAUUUUGUUCCAAAUUGUUGUCUAGAUUAGUCAAUCUUUGUCUGUGCUUCCUUAUUUUGACAAGAGUAGUUAUACCUACUGGAAAGUUAGGAUGCGUGCAUUUCUUAAGUCCCUAGAUGAACCCGUUUAGGCUAGUGUACAAAAUGGUUAGAAGGCCCCAUCCACUACUGGGUCUGGUGUAGUCAUUCCCACUGACAUUUCACUUUUGACUAAGGAAAAAUUAGCUGACUGUAACUGGAAUAACAAAGGACUCUAUACAUUGUUUAUGGCUAUAUCUCCCGAAAAGUUUAGGAGAGUGUCAAUGUAUGAAACUGCUAAAGAGGUAUGGGAUAUUCUAGAGACUACACAUGAGGAAAUUAAAACUAUGAAUAAUUCCAAAUUGUAAAUGUAAACUUCUAGGUUUGAAGAAAUUGAGAUGAAGGAAAAUGAAUCGUUUGAUGAAUUUUACACAAAAUUGAAUGAUAUAGUGAACUCUAGCUUCAACCUAGGUGAGAGGAUUCCCAAGUCCAAAAAUGUUAGAAAGGUCCUUAGGUCUUUACCCGAGAGAUUUAGACCCAAAGUUACAGCAAUAGAAGAAAGCAAGGAUCUAGACACGGUUAAGAUAGAAGAACUUGUAGGAUUCCUUUAAACUUAUGAGCUCACUAUUUCAUAGCUGAAGAAAAAUAAGCCCAUAAUAUUGAAUACUAUUAAGGAAGAGGAGUCUGAAUCAUCUGACAUGGAGACCCUUAGGGAUGAAGAGAUAGCAUACUUUGUGAAAAAAUUCUAGAAAGCUCUAAAGAAUAAGAAAAGGCCUCAAAAGAGAAAAAAUGGAGGUCCUAGUAAAUUCCAGAAUGAUAAGAGUGAUAAACCAAAUGCUAGGAACUCUAGUAAGAAAUCUCAACUUGUUAGAUAACAUGAGUGUCAAGGGUUUGGACACUAUAGGAAUGAAUGCCCUAGUUUUAAGAAAAUUUUGAAAAAGGCAAGGAGUAAGGCAUUACUGUGUCAUAGACAGAUGGUGAAAUAAACUCAAGUGAUCAGGGUGACUCCUUUGGUAGUGAAGAUAAAAGGGUUAUAUUGCUUUCGUCUCUACAGUUAAGAGUGGGUCGGAUAAGGAGAGUGACAAGGUUGAAGAAGAUAUACAAGAUGAAAAUUAUAAGAUACUGAGGAUGAGACUGAUAUUCAUGAGGCUUACCAACUUCUGUUUAAGGAAAAUCUUAAGAUCAAGAAGAUACAUAAAGCCCUAUUUAAGAAGGUGAACGCUAUUGAGAGAGAGAAAGAGAGGCUCACAAGUGAUCUACAGGACUCGUCCAAAAGCCUUAAUGAGCUAAGAUAUGUCAAUGAAAAGCUGGAAGACAAGGUUAAGACUUUGACUAGUGACUUAGAGAAAUCAAAUAUUCACUCAACUCCAGUCAUUUAUAAGUGGGACUAAGAAACUAAAUGAUCUGUUAGGAAUGAAUAAAUCAGCUGGAAAUAGGCAAGGUUUAGGAUUUGUUAAGAGUGAUAGUAACAUGGCCAGUUUAUCCAAGACCACAUUCGUCCCUGCCUCCAACAAAUCUAGUAAUAUGGCUAAUUCGGAACCCAAAGGGAAAAGUGUCUCGGAAUAAAAGAUCACUAGAGCAUGUAAGAUCCCCCCACCUAAAAAUUAAUAUCAACAAUCACGUGCCUGUGAGCCUAGGUUUAUACUAAGCGUGGAAAUAGGAAUAGAAAUCAGGAUAUCCCUAGUCAGGUUAGCUACCUUUUAGAUCAGGUCAGUCAUUUAGCUGAUAUGGUGACAAAAUUGACCAAGAUACCUUGACUUCUCGAAAAGUUUGGGUCAAGAAAAGUGAUUUGGCUAGGCAUGCUGAGAAUCUAAACUGCUUUGUAGCUCAUGUUGCAUUUAAGGCUCAAAAUACGUGUAUGUGGUAUCUCGAUAGUACUUGCUUGAGACACAUGUAUGGAAAUAAGGCUUUGUUCUCUAUCCUUGAUAUUUUAAUGGUGGUAUGGUUACCUUUGGAGACAGGGCUACAGUACCUAUCCUUGGUAAAUGUACCGUCAACAUAUCUAGACUACUGACUAUAUCUAAUGUGCUUUAUAAAGAUAGUCUAAAGUCCAAUUUGUUAAGCAUAAGUCAAAUAUGUGAUGCUGAUUAUGAAGUGAGUUUUGUCCAAGAGAGGUAUACUGUUUAUGACCCUUUGGGUAGAGUUGUCCUCGAAGGUGUUAAAACUUCUGAUAAUUGUUAUAGAGUUCUUCCCAAUUCCAAAUAUGUGUAUAGCAGUGCUAAAAUUGAUGCGAUUAAACUUUGGAUCAAAGACUAGGUCAUGUGAAUUAUAAAAGUUUGUCAAAAUUGGCAAAAAGGAAAAUGUUAAUGGUUUGCCUAAAAUUGAACAACAAGAAAUUCUAUGUGUAAGCCUUGUAAGCAAGGGAAAUAAAUUUGGAUAAAUCACAAACAAACUUCUAAAAUUUUGACAAACAGAACCUUAGAACUUCUCCAUAUGGACUUAAUGGAACCAUCUAGGACUGAAAGCCUAGGAGGUAAGCACUAUAUUAUUGUUGUGUUGUAUGAUAAGAAAAAAAUUUGAAGCAUUUGAUCUUGUUAAAUCCCUGUGUAAAAAGCAUAAGACUGAACAAAAUCUUUCCAUAUCUAGAAUUCGAAGUGAUCAUGGAAAAGCAUUUGAAAACUCCAACUUUGAAAACUUGUGUUUGGAGGAGAAAAUUCAGCAUGAGUUCUCCUCACCAAUCACUUCACAACAAAAUGGGAUAGUUGAAAGGAAAAAUAGAGUGCUCCAAGAAAUGGCUAGAGUCAUGCUUAACGACAGGGAUCUUGCAAUGCAUUUCUAGGGUGAAGCAAUCAACAUUGCAUGCCACAUAGUGAACAAAGUAUACCUCAGAUCGAAAAUCGAUAAGACUCUAUAUGAGAUUUGGAAGGGUAAGAAGCCUAUUGUCAAAUACUUUCAUAUGUUUGGCAGCAAGGGUUACAUUAUGCGGGAUAGAGAAAAUUUAGGUAAGUUUGAUUUCAAUAAUGAUAAAAGGAAUUCUUUUGGGAUAUUCUAAGAAUAGUAGAGACUACAGAGUAUACAAUUCGCAUACUCAAAGUGUCAUGGAGUUCAUAAAUAUUUUGAAUGGUGAUGCUUUUACUGAGGGAGAAGGUGGAAAAUUUAGUUGGUUUAGAAAAUCUAAGUGAUGAUCAAUGAACAACUAUUGAACCUAAAAAACAUCCAAUAUCUAACUCUCCGUGCUUUCCUAAAGACAUAGACACUUCAGAUAAGAAUCAACCAAUUGGUGACAAAUCUUAGCCUACUAGAGAACCAUCAUCCAGGGUUAAAUCAAAUCAUCCUAAAGUCAAUAUCAUUGGAGAUCUAGAUGAAGGUAUGAGGUUACAUAAAAGGGUUCUAAUUAAUCUAACAUACACAAGCUAUGUACCCCAGAUUGAGUCCAAGAAAGUAGAGGAAGCCCUUAGAGAUGAAUGUUGGAUAAAUGCAAUGUAUGAGGAGCUUAAUCAAUUUGUCAAGAACAAUGUGUGGGUUUUAGUUUGUAGGCCCGAUGAUUGCAAUGUUAUAGGUACUAACUAGAUAUUCAAGAAUAAGACCAAUGACCAAAGUACCAUAACCAGAAACAAGGCUAGGCUAGCCAGGGGUAUACUCAAGUUGAAAGUGUCGACUUUGAUUAGACAUUCGCCCCUAUCGCAUGUCUUAAGUCCAUUCGCAUCUUCCUUGUUGUUGCUUGUACCUUAGGGUUCAAGCUUUAUCAAAUGGAUGUUAAGAAUGCUUUCUUGAAUAGAAUACUUCAAGAAGAAGCAUGUGUUGAACAGCCCAAGGGUUUAUCGACCCUACAUUUUCUCAUUAUGUCUAUAAACUGAAUAAAGUCUUGUAUGGUCUGAAAAAAACUCCUAGAGCUUGGUAUGAUAGACUCACUGCAUACCUCGUUGAUCGUGGAUUUUCAAGAGGUAGUGGAAACAGAACUUUAAUCAUUAGGCAUAUUCAAGAAACCAUAACUAUAGCAUGGAUCUAUGUCGAUGACAUCAUUUAUGGCUCUCCUGUAGACUCUUUUGCUUAUGAAUUCACUGAAUGCAUGAAAUAAGAAUUUGAAAUGAGCAAGGUUGGAGAGCCGAGCUACUUCCUUGGUCUUCAAGUAAAGCAAAUAGAUGAUGUCUUGUUCAUUUCUCAAUCAAAAUAUUCAAAUGAUCUUGUCAAGAGGUUAGGGCUAGGUAGGAAAAAGCACACAAGGACAUCCAUGAGCACAAGUGCUAAGUUAGAUCACGGUUCUAAAGGUAAAAGUGUUGAUCAAACACUGUCUAGGAAUAUGAUAGGUAGUUUACUCUAUCCUACUGCUGGUAGACUUGACAUAGCAUUCAAUGUUAGAAUGUGUGCAAGAUAUCAGGCAGACCCUAAAAAACCCAUUUGAGUACAGUGAGGUAUAUCAUUAGGUAUGCAAAUGGAACCAUAGAUCAUGGAAUCUUAUAUUCUAGAGACUCCAAACUUGAUCAUGCCAACUACUCCGAUGCCGAUUGUUGGCUGGAAAUUCUGAUGAUAGAAAGAGUGCCUCGGGUGGCUGUUUCUAUAUUGGUUCUAAUCUUGUGUCAUGAAUGAGUAAGAAACAAAACUUCAUCUCUUUGUCCACGGUCGAGGCUGAAUACAUUGUGGCCAGUAGUUGUUACACUCAGCUGCUUUGGAUGAAGCAAAUGUUGAGUGAUUAUGGGAUAAAUUAGGUAUACCAUGACUGUGUUUCAUGAUAACACUAGCACUAUUAACAUCUCUGAAAACCCUAUUCAACAUUCUAGGACAAACAUAUUGACAUUCGUCAUCACUACAUUCGAGAACUUGUUGAAUCCAAUGUGGUAUCCUUAGAGCACAUUUCUAUAGAAAAUUAGCUUGUCGAUCUGUUUACUAAACCUUUAGACGGUCUGAGGUUCGAGUCACUUAGAAAGUCUGUCGGUAUCUAUGUACCUUAUUGACCAUCUUCAUAGGGACAUCCAUGUACAACUCAUUUACUUGUCUGUUUUUGCAUUUAUUUCAUUGCAUAUUCAUUUUGAUUUGCAUUUGCCCUCUCUUCAUGCAUUUUUAAUUUCAUCAUAUAAAAUAAAAAAUUUAGUCACUGCAGAAUCGUAUUUGUUUUACUUAAACUUGCAUCUUUUGAUCAGAUAUACAUUCAAUAAAUGAUUAGCUUCAUAUUCAUAUCACUUGAAUUUAGUCUAUGCGGCGUACUUAGUAUAUGUCUCUUCAUACUUUGUCUGUACAUCACACACUAUGACCUUGUAAGUGAAUCUUGACCGCAUAUGUGAGAUUUGGGAUGACUGUCAUCUGGUGAUGAGGUGAUCGUAAUCGUGAAUUGAUCUUUGACUAGGCGAUCUAAAUUCUGCUGGUUCCUUCCAACAAAAGUUAAAAAUAUUGUUGAGUUAUAUCUUAUACCCAUCUUCGUAGCAUAGUUGACUCGAGCAAUUAAGUUUAAGGAGUUUAUAAUGCUCCAAAGCUAACUGGCUUGGGAGUCACCGAACCAAAGCUCGUUACAAGGAUCUUCUUAGUAACUUAAUGGAGAUGGGCUUGCACUUAAGAUUAAAAAAAAAAAAUUUUGGUUAUAGACAGGGGAAGAAAGAAAAUUACACACCACACAUUCAUUGAAUUAUAGGUCCCAGUGGCGCUAGAUUUGACUUUCACAAUUCUGGGAGAUAAAUUCAUUCAGCAGUGAAUUAGCAUGUCCCUUCUCACAAAUUUAAGAUUUUGAGUCUUGUUUCCAUGGAAUUAGUGGCACUUUUACAUAUGGGUGGGACAGCAUUUCUAGUCCCUGAGCAUGUCAUAUUUGUGAUAUGUGUUAGGGCACGUAUCAUAUUUAAUGAAAAAAUAUUGGUGCAAAAAUGAAAAUUUUCAAAGUAAUGCUAAAAUUCUGCAUUUUCUAAGUGUUGCUAAAAUUCUAUAUUUUCAUGAUGUGGUGCUAUUUCUAUCAAUUUCCUAUCGCUCGAUUAUUGUUGACCUCUUGCUCGAGUGAUAAUAACAAAAUUUAUGUCACUCGCUUCUCACUCGAAGCUCACUUGAGCGACAUUUAAGUUUGAAAUACACUUCGUCACCUCAUUUUCCCAUUUUUCUUCAAAUUUUCAUUGUUUUCUCUUCGAGCACACACUAUAUUCUUGCAAAAUCUGAAAUUUUGGAUAGGUCUUCAUCACUGAUUGCAUACAUUACAUAUGGUUAAAACCAUACAUUUUACCAUUUUGAUAUCUUUUGGGGUUUUGUCGAUUUCGCUUCGAUAAGCCACAAUUUCUUGAAUCUAAAUUAUUCCAUUGUGCAUCUUGAGUGUCGCAUUGCAUCGUUAUGGCUCAAGUUUGCAUUUUUUAUGGCAUUUUUCCCAUUCUUCUAUUGUUUUUUUCCCACAUUUUUGACACUUUUAUCUCGAAUUUUUUCUUCUCAGCGGUGCAUUUUUAUGACAUAGGAUUGUUGUGAUGAUGUUUGAGUACUAUUUGGUAAGUUGUGGGGUAUUGGGACUGUAAGUGUUGUGUGUUUUUUCACCUUUUACAUGUGUAUGCCACACGUUCGACAAAUUGCCUCUUCACUGAAUUGACUCGCUACCUAGGCUACUUUUACCUACUAUAUUCAUAAUCUAAGUCCCAAUCAUUUUUGGUUCUUUGUGUCUCUUGGUUGACGUCCCGUUCUUAUGAUUUCGCGUCUAGAUCAUGUCAUAUGUAACUGCGCCUUACGCUUUGCCACCAUCUCACCUCCGUCUUGACACUAAGUCCCUAACGUCUUGGCACCAUGUCACUUAGUUCUUGACAUUGCACACUUAUUGCAUAGUUUUGCGUUUUACUAUUUUUCAUUGGGUUUUAUGCUUUUCUCUAUGAUGCAUUAUUUUCCGUGCUUUUCGCAAGUUUUUGUAUCAUUUUGCACGUUUUUCCUAUUUUGCAUCAUUUAGAGUCUUCUUCAUGCUUUCGUAUAGCUUUGGGUGAUUUUUACAUAGAAGCACGUACAUCCAUGCAUAUCUCAUUUUAGGUGGUCUACGAGUCUUAACAUCUUGGUAAUAUUCUAUAUUUCAGCUGGCACCUAAGAGGGCACGAUCCGCUGCUCAGUCUAUUAGUGGGUCGACUUCGUAUAAUCGGUCUAGGUUUAUUUCUUCCACUGCUCAGGAUAUGUUUGGGACUCAGUUCUCAUUACGUCCGUUCUAGUUGAGCAUGAGGUCAGUCUUUCUAACCUUCCACCUGACCUAACAGCCAUAUUUACCUUUAGGGUUUGGGAGUCUUUAUUAGUUGGAUUGUACGCCCCGCUUAGUCUCCUAGUCCAGGAGUUCAAUGUGAAUAUUCAUGAUGUUAACGGGUCAUCUUUUAAGGCCUUCCUUCGAGGUCAGUCGAUUAAGAUCACACCUGACAUUGUUUCGAGCACUAUUCAUAGUCCACGUGUCAUUUAAUCAUUUUUUCCAUACUUGUCGGUCAACCCUAUUCCGAUCGAUUCCUUGGUUAAGUUGAGUUUUUUUAAUAGUCCAUUAGGAGGUGGACCACACAUGAUUCACAUUGGAUCACUUUCUAUUGAUUGACAAAUUUUAUUGCGCAUUAUGUGCACAAAUCUGUUUCCAGUUUCUCGUACUUCUUCAUUGCUUAUGGAAAAGACAAGAUUUUCCUAUGUCCUUCUGCAUGGUGAUUCUAUUAACCUGCCCACUUUCAUUUGUCAAAAUAUCUCUUGUAUAUUUAGUAGGAUAGGUCUCCAUAAUGCGUGCUUAAUAACCGUUUGGUGACAUCCCUGAGGCUUCAUUUCCUGAUGGGGUCUUUCAUCGGGCUUUUCAUCCCAUUUGUCAUACUAUUUUUUCGCAGAGUAGAUCCCAUUUUCCUUCUUCUUUUGCUCCUGCAGAGCUUGUUGACCUAACAGUGCCUGCUGAUCUUAUCGGUGAUCUUUUCUCUUCUGAUUCCUCAUAUAUACCUCCGUCUCAUCUUGAUGUUCCUCCAUCCACUACUAAUAUUCCAUCAUCUUCUAUUUCGGUCGCUCCACACACUCGACCUUACUCAACUGCGGGCUAUUUCAGAGCGCCAUACUGCAAAGUUUUCUACAUUGAGAGGGGUUAUGGUAUAUGUGCAGCACGUGAUCCGGUGGAUGCUUAAGCACUGGGACUAUGACGAUGAUGAUGAGGAGGAUGACGGCGAUGGUGGUGGUUCAUAGUUGUUAGAGAUUCCCUUGUCAUUUGUGACAAAAACGAGAGUGGUUUUAUUGUAUAAUUUGACUUAUUUUUGGGAUUUGUGACUUUUGAUGAUUGACAUCGAACAUGAUUGUGUUAUGUUUGACAUUAUUUUUGCUAAAUUAAGAUUUGAUGUUUUGGAAUAUUAAUGUAUGUUUUUUUGGUGUUUUAACUUACAGUGAUAUUGUGUCUUAAUCUAGCAUUAUUCAUAUGAUAGUGUGCUUGCUGAUGACUAUCUAUCUUUACUACCUUUACUUAUAUUAUUGUUUUUUGUGAGUUGUAAUUUUAGGAAGCAAGCCUAAUGAAGACAGAGCAACAGUCAGUACAGUCAUUGUUUUGCAUAGUCAUUGUGGUCAUUGUUGAUGUAAUAUAUUUUUUGUCACUUUUUCACGCCUUGGACUAACUCUUCGGCUGUUUGAACUACUACUAUCAGGCAAGCAACAACUACAUUUCCUAAUUCAGAAUGUCAAAGGGGGAGUUUGUUAGGUUUUAAGUUGACAAUUCUUUGAACAAAAGGGUCAAAUUAUAGAUGUUCAAAAAUUAAAGGUCAAAUUGUCAAUGUUUAAAAGUCAGGGGUCAAUUUGUACAUGUUUAAAAAUUAGUGACUAUGUUGUAAUUUUGUAAAAGUAUGUUAGGGUUUGAGUUUGGAAAAAAGAGAAUAAGUGUCGUCAAAGUUUCAUUAGCUGAGCGCAGGAGAUUGCUUGUGUGUAAAAAACAGAGACCUCAUCUCUAGCUCAUUGCCCUUGUCCUGUUCGAGCAAAACAAUGUCACUUGCUUUUUGCUGCAGUUUUUAUUUUAUGAUUUUCGAGGUUUUGAACUGGCCCAUACUUCCCAAAAUGUGUCCUUUAUAAUUGAGUGCACCGUAUUUGUCCAUCUUUAGAGGAUUGAUCUUGAAAAACACAUCCUACACUUUGUUACAUUGAUUCAAUCCCACUAUCUUGUUGGUGCUCUCACUCAAAAACACCAAAUCCACAUCCAUCAAACACCAAAACCUGUCCUUUUAGAGCAUUUAUCAAAAGUGGAAGAUCAGGAAAGGAGAUUGGAGUUCUGUUUGUUGAAGAAUGGGGAGCUCUCGAGUAUUCACAGAAGAUAAAUGAAAUCAAAAGCUGGGAAUUGGUGCAGGAGCACGCAUUCCAUGAGGGUUUUGGGGAAUUACAGUCAAGAGGUCAGGAAAAAGAAUGUUGUUUGAGUCUGGUAGACUCUAAGUUGAUAUUUCGUUUUUAGUAUCUUCAUAUUGGCUUUGGCCCGAAGUUUUUAAUCCCUCAAGGAGUUUUCUCCGUCAUCAAAUUGUUGUGCUUUUUAAGUUUCUACAAUUUACUAUUUUGUGACAGUUCAACAUAGACUAGUAAUGCAUGUGAAUCAAUCUGGACAAAAUUAAUAACUUUGACUUGUUGCAAUUAUUAAUCAAUUGUUAAAAAUUCUGGCACAAACACCUAUUUACCCUCUCUCUAAGUGUUAAUUGGGUCAAACUAUAUUAUUUCAAUGUUAUUAAUGCUUUUCAUUACAUAUUUGUGCACGUUAAUACAUCCAUAAACAUACAUGAAAUUUCAAGGAAUAAAAAGUUUUCAAAUGUCAUGAGUCAAUGAAUGUUUUUAAACGAUAUCUAUUCCUAAGGUUUUUAUUACGUGGUGCAUGUCUAUGUCAUGAAAGAUGUGAGUGAAAAAUGGGGUGUGGGGGAUCGAUGCACCCAAUGAAUGUUCAAUGUUCUAUGACAGUAUUAUUGUUAACCUCUUUGUGGUACUAACGGUAGGACUCGACCGGAUUCUAAAUAAUAAUUGUCCACUGUAUUCUGAUUGGCUAGGCAAUGCACCAAGUGAGUUCACAAUAUCAAUGUUAUGUUUUUAGAGAAAUGAAAAGAAGGGGAUACAUAUUGAGAAAUGCCUUUUUAUUUUAAGUAAUUCAUAUGCAUAUCAUAAGCAUGCAUCAUCCGCAUGAAGUCUUGUUACUGAGAGUUAUCUCAUCCCACAUUAUUCAUCCCCAUUUUUAGAUGACGAAGGCAAGAUAAUUCGAUACGACUACUUGUGGUGAGAUGGACUUGGUACUAAUACAUUUAGUGCAGAUCAAGUUGAAAUAAGUUUAACAUUUAAUUUGAUUAUCUUAUAUUUUUAUUAAAUAUAAAUUUUUUUGAAAUCCUUUCCUUAAAUGAAAGUCGUUAAUAUUUUUAUGUUAAAGAAAAAUUUAUAAUCAGUUUCCACAUUAUGGUUUGAAGGGAAAUUAAAUGAUAAUACUUCUACAUCUAGGUAUCUGGAUUUGGGGUGUUACAAAAUACCCAAACUAAAGUGGAAUUUUCUCUCCCACAGUUGAUAUCCAAUUGGUGUCAGUUUAUCUUUCCAAGAUUUUAAGGAACCAUGUGUAUUGUAGUCCAAGGUUUUUAGUUUUCUUUAAGUAACCAAAAACCCUCUCGAUAGCCUUCCAAUGUUCGAAAAUCGAAUUGCUAGUAAACCUACUUAGGUUAUUCAUAGCAAAUGCAACAUCAUGUCUUGUACAUUGUGUCGCAUCCAUUAGACUUCCAGUUGCACUUGCAUAUUCUAGCUAUUGCUCCUCCAUCAUUUUUUAUCAGCUUGAUACUUAGAUCCAAAGAGUAUUAGCCUCCUUGACGUUCAAUUGUUUGAACUUAUUUAUUACAUUUUAACUUUGAUAUCAAUGAUAUUAUCCACUUGUCCAAGAUCUUUUAUUUUGAAUGUGGAGGAUAGAAACCUCUUCGUUUCUUUGAUCCCAUCUAUAUUGUUACUGGUGACCAACAUAUCAUCAACAUAUAGACAUUAAAGUAAUUAGACUAUUAUUUACUUUAGUGUAAAGACAAAAUAUCUACCGAAUUAUGAUUAAAAUCAUUUGACAUUAUUAUAGAGUCAAAUUUCUCAUGCCACUUAUUAGGAGCUUGUUUCAAUCCAUAUAAAGAUUUGAUUAGUUUGCACACUUUAUGUUCAUUUUUUGGUAGAACGAACUCUUCUGGUUAAAUCAUAUAGACCUCUUCUUUGAGAUCUCCAUUUAGGAAUGCCUUCUUGACAUCCAUUUGAUGAACACAUAAAUCAUAAAUUGAUGCUAGUGCAAACAGGUUCCUUAUCAAUGUUAUCCUAGCCAUAGGUGCAUAUGUGUUAAAGUAAUAUAUUCCUUCCUUUUGACAAUACCCUUUAGCUGCUAUUCUAGCAUUGUAGGUAUUAAGCGUUCCAUCAGAAUUGUACUUUUUUCUAAAUACCCACUUGCAACAAAUAGCUUUCGAACCAUUUCAUAAGUCAGCUAUUUCCCAAGUAUUAUUUGAAAUAAUGGAAUUCAUUUCAUUAUUUAUCGCUUCUUUUCAAAAUAUACAAUCUCUAGAUGAUAUUGCUUCCUUAUAGGUUUUAGGAUCACUUUUCAUUUGAAGAACAAUAGGUAUUGUUCUUACAACCUCCUUCCUAUCUCUCUCUACUACGUAAAAAUAAAUAAGUUGAAAAUCUAUUCCAUCCGAUCCUAAACCUUUUUCUUUUCGAAUUUUCUUACUAUUUCGAGGUUCACUUUCAACAUUUCUAAUAGCUCUCUAGAAUUUGGAAUAACAUCAUUAUUUUGAGGUUUUUACUAAUAGAAAAUUUCUUCUCCCUUGAUUCUAUUAUAACAUCUGAUUCAAGGUUUAAUAACCUAUAAGCCAUGCUAUUAAGAACAUAUCAUACAAAGGCACAUUUAAUAUCACUAUGACCUAAUUUAGUUCUCUUAUGAUCCGUAUUUUUAUAAUAAGCAAGGCACCCGUACACUCUGAAAUAAUUAAUAUUUGGUUUUCUACCUUUCCAUAUUUCAUAUGGGAAGAUCUUAUUAUUUUUCAUAGGAACGCUAUUUAGUAUAUGUCAAACACUAAGUAAAACUUCACCCCAUAGAUUAAAAUGUAAUUCAGAAUUCAAUAACAUGGCAUUUAUCAUCUAUAAGAAUGCCUUAUUCUUUCUUCAAACCAUUUUUUUUUGGAGUUCGUGGUGCUGAAUAUUGAUGCAUUAUUCAAUUUUGUUCACAUAACACAUUGAAUUCAUUAGAGAAAUAUUCUUCAUCUCUAUCACUUCUUCGAGUUUUAAGUUUUCUUCCUAAUUGAUUUUCUACUUCGAAUUUAUAAGUCUUAAAGGCACUAAAGGCUUCAUCCUUAUGCUUUAACAAAUAGAUAUAAGUAUAACUAGAGCAAUCAUCAAUGAAAGUAAUAAAAUAUCUAUUAUCACCUCUUGUUAGCAUGUCAUUCAAUUCACAUACGUCGAAAUGAACAAGUUCAAGUAGGUUUGUUGAUCUUACUGUACUACGAAAUGACUUUUUAAUUAUUUUUAAUUUAAUACAUGUUUCACAUUUUUCCAAGUUGUCAAAGUCACAUUGUAUCAACCCACAUUUGACCAUUCUUUUCAUAGUGCUAACUCCUAUGUGUGCUAAUCUACCAUGCCAUAAAUUGUAAGAAUCAACAACAUAGGCAAAUCAUUUAAUUUUAUUAGAAUUAUCCUCAAAAGUACAUAGUUUUACCAUUCCUUCAUCGGAAUAGCCCUUUCCAACAAAGUACCCAUUAUGGGUUGGUACAAGUUUUUCUGAUUCAAAAAUGGAUUUAAGUCCAAGUUUUCUCAAUAGAACUCCACUUGCUAAGUUUCUAUUCAUUUCUGGUACAUGAAGGACAUUUGUCAUAGUGACCUUCUUCCCAAAGUGAACAUGAUUUUCGAACUACCUUUGCCAAUCACUUGAGAUCUUCCUUCAUUUCCCAUUUGAAUUUCUUGAUCGUCUUGAAUGUCAUGAUAAGUUUUGAAAAAAGACAUAUCAUAACAAACAUGGAUUGUAACACUGUGUCAUACCACUGAUCUAGAACUUUCUCUUGGAUUGCAUUGAUUUCACUCACCAUAACGAUAAUCUCAUCAAUGAAAUUUCCUUGUCCUUCCUUCUUUCGUUGUUUUCUAUACUUGCAAUCUCUUGCAUAGUGUCCUAAUUUUCCAUAAACAUAGCAAGGUCAUUUGGAUUUGUUUUUGAACUUUCCUCAAUUCUUUUUAGGAGCAAGAGGUUUCCUUUUUGUUUUGUAUUUUUUGGAAUUGUCCAAACUGUCCAUGGCAUGGGUUUUCGAAGAGCCAUGUAGUCAUAUCUCUUGCCUUUGAUUCUUCCUCUAUGAGAAGUUGCUUUUGGACGUCUUCCAAAGAGAAGUCUUCAGAAUUGUGAAAAAUCUUCUUUCUAUAUCCUUUUCAAGACAUCGAGAAUUUAGUAAAAAUUGCUCCCACUUUGAAGGAUUUGAAAAGUUCAAUGUCACCACUUUCGAUUUGUUAACACUAAUUUACAAUUCGUGUAUUUGAGGCAACAAAUGAAUAUUAUCAAGCAUUUUGCAAUCAAAAUAUUUAGAAAUUAAAAUCUUCUUUGUACUUUCCUCCUCGGCCUUUUAUUUAUUUUCAAGUGCGUCCCAAAUUUCCUUUGCUGAAGUAGUAUUUGUGUAAGAUCAUAUAGCCAAUCCAAAAGGGCAUUUAGAAUGUGAUCGUGACAUAUCAAUUUGUUUUAUUCCCCUUUCUAUCAGCACGAACUUAUUCAAUAUUCUUUUUAUUGCAUUAGCGAUUGCCUCCAAAUUUAGAUCAAGCACGUAGAAGAUCUUUAAUGUUGUUAAUAGGAAUUUGAGUUUGUCUAGCUAUCUUGUGAAGUUAGAUCCAUCAAAUCUGUCCAAGCUCACCAAAUUUUGAUUCAUCAACAUGAUUGUAGCACGCGUAAAUUCUGUCUCCAUCGUAGUAAAUGAGGAUAUCGUUUGCGAAUGUUAUAAAAAAAUGCAGCAAUAUAGAACAAAAGAUGAAUAUAUACGGAAGAAAACUUGAACAUGAAAUAAUGUCAUUUUCCUCAAAUGAUAUUUGCCUCCUUCACAAUGCUUUUAAGGAUUAAAAUGAAAAAUAGUUUGUAGCAUUAAUCAAGCCUCAAGAAGAACGCCAAAAGCAAAUUAUUCUCCAAAUGAACAAGUGAAAAAGAAGAAUUUGAUUAUGUUGCGGGACAAAAAUUCAUACAAAGUUGGAUGAAUAGUAGAGUAAGUUUUCCAUGUAUUUCUGGGAUGAACACAACAUGUAUUUAUAGAUUUCUCUCAUCCCUACAUGAAAUGGUUCCAACUGAAAUGAAUGAGUACAUGAUUCAUCAAGAAAACUACCAGAAAUUCAAAAAAAAUUCCAGCCAAUAGUCAUAUUUUUCAACUAUGCGACCGCAUAGGCUAUAACUAUGCGAUCGAUUAGUUAUAGCUUUGGCUGCCUCCAAUAUUUCUGAACUACCACAUGCGACCGUAGGCCUUAGAUGCUUAUGCGUUCACAUAGGCCAUUGAUCUAAGCCCCGUCUAAUCCACUUUUGGUGCCAAUCAUUAUGAAAUCGAAAGGAAGGUGUUUGGUUUAAUCAAUUAAAGGUUGUGUUUAACUCCACAGAUAUUUUUCUCAAAUUCAUUUUUUACCAUAUAUUUGCGGGACAUACAACUUUUAAAUUGAAAUUUCAUUAAUUUUUAUAAAUCUCUCUCUCUCUCUCUCUCUCUCUCUCUCUAUAUAUAUAUAUAUAUAUAUAUAUAUAUAUAUAUAUAUAUAUAUAUAUACACACCANNNNNNNNNNNNNNNNNNNNNNNNNNNNNNNNNNNNNNNNNNNNNNNNNNNNNNNNNNNNNNNAUAUAUAGUCAAGCCAAACUAGGGCUUAAUUUCGUGGAUUCACAUAGAAUAUAUACGUAUUGACAAAAUUGGGAACAGCCAAAUGUUGUAACUCUCGUUUGAAUAGAAAAUCAUACGAAAGAAACCCUCACUACCAAAUGAUAAAAAUAGCACUACCUAAAUGAUUGUACCUAUAAGUAUUUAAAAAUAAAUAAAAACCAGUUGAUUGAAAACAAAAGGUUUAAAAAAUGAAUUAAACUAUUUGUAUGGUAGAGAUCCCCCUGUAUAAGUUACAAGUGCAGUGCUUCCAACACUUUACCUGUAAUAUGUAAAGGGGAUUUCCCCGGUACAUAUAACAUCACCCUUAGAAAAGGUAUGCGAGCUACAAGUGACUACACUCCUAGGUCAAUGUCAAGUUCAGACUUUAUAUGCGGCCUAAGAAGUGGUGCCUCGACCACCAAAUAUUACAAAAUGUAUUGAAAUUAGGUGGAUAGAUCAUACAAAAUAUAUAUAGGCAAAAAAUUGUUUGAUCAUCUUGAAUUAGAAUUUAAAUUUUGUAAAACAUGCAUUAACGUUUUAACAAAAAUGCGUAGUCAUGCAUUAUGAUAGGAACUCCAAAUUCUCUAGCAAAUACAGCUUUUUUGAUCAUUUCUUCGCAUGUACCUGCAGUGGAGUACAGAGAUCAAGGAAAAAGGCAUAUAUUGGAUGAUUUUUGUGCACUUGACUACUCUAGUCUGGCACGAUCUACUUGUAAAUGUUGAUUGAUUAAUGACAAGAUCUAUUUUGAAUUUGAAUUUACUGGUCUCGAACUUGGUUAAUUAGCCAAUUUUUAGAUCCUUGAUUGACAAUAACUAAUUUGUUAGAUGCUUAUAAUUCCACAACACUUGAAAUUACUUCUCAAAGGUGUAAGUAGAGAUUUGGUGGUUAUUUUUCAAAUUUUACUUUUUAACAAAUUCAAUUUUAAUCUUACAUUUUUAAUAAAAUAAUAUUGUAAGUAAACUCCUAAAUUUUCCCAUAUUUUAAUCAUAAAUUCUUUAAAAAAUUCACUUCUCAUAAAAUAUAUUCUAAAAAAAUCUACAUUAAAUAGAUCCUAAACGAAGGUAAAAGUAAAAUUGGCCAAAAUAAUUGGAAGGUAAAAGAGUAAACGGAGGUUAUGAAGAUGAUGACUAUAUUGCCACCAAAAUUUUUAUUAACUACAUCAUAUUUUAAUUGUAAUUAACUCCUUAAUCAUUGUUCAUUGUAGUAAUUAUUUUCUUAAUUUUUUCAUCGAAUUCUUAUCUUCAACCUUCCAUUAAUUUGUAUAUCUCAUUUUUUAUGUGGAUUUAUGCCAAAAUAUUUUGUUUCUAUACUUUAAAAUAAAGGAAAAAUAUUUUUCCUACCUUCUAAUUUAUUUAUUUUUUAAAAUAUGAUGAGAAAAUAAAUUGUUAUGGGCUAUUGUAAUGGACUUUUUAAACAUAAAAUAUUUUUAAAUAUAAAAUGUGUCAACACAUGAAAAGCUUGAGGAUUAGAAUACCGUUAGAAACAUAAAUGUUAUAAUGAGUAAAGAUUGAGAAACCUAAAUGUAAUUAAAAUGCGAUACAACAAAUAAAAAUUGUUGGUGUGAAUAUAAUUACAAUGGAGAUGACAAGGAAGACGGGGAUUGGAGAGAAAUAAGGAAAUAUGUCCAAUCAAUCCCCAUGAAUCGGCAGCCAUGGAAUUUAGGGAUUAUUAGAUACAAAAUGUGUUAACUCAUGAAAAGCUUGAGGAUAAGAAUACCAUGAACAAUAGUUAGAGACUAAAUGUUAUAAGAAGUAGAUUGAGAAUUCUAAAUGUAAAUAAAUAUGCUGUAAAAGGUAAAAUAUAUGAAAUGAAUAUAAUUCCAACGGAGAUAACAAGGAAGAUGGGGACUGGAGAGAAGAAAUCAUGAAAUAUGUCCAAUCAAUCACUAUAAAUAGGAAGCCAUGGAAUUUAGGGAGACUUAUAAAGCCACCUCCAUCAAGCCGCCGCGUCUCAUAUCUAAAUUCUUCAAUGCUGUUUUGCUACCUUGACAGCGUCCUAUUUCCUCUGUUUUUUCUUUUUUCCCAUUUUUUUUUUCAUCUUUCAAUGAUAUUUUGCUAUGUGUUAUCUGUGAAAGAAAUCUUUAUGUGUAGCAUGAUUGUCCAAAUUGGUGAAUGACGAUGGUUUAUAUCAUCGGCUGGCUUGAGUUAUGGAGCCAUUACAUAAUAGCUUAGCCUGAACCAUAGGAAUGUUGGAUGAAAUUAUAAUCAGACACUUCGUUUGAAAACGAUACACUUUAGUCCUGUUUGGGUUCCAUUCUACAAAAAAUUAUUUUUGUUAAACCUCAUUUUUAAUCAAAUUCUUCUUAAACUCAAGACCUCGAGUUUUUAGUUUUGUGGCGUGUCUGUAUUAUAAAAAAGAGAACCAAAAUGAUAGGAAAACAUGAUUAUCACCUCAAUUGUUUUGUUAUAAUAUUUACCUAAUGCUUUAUUUUAGUUCAAAAGCACCUACGAAAUUAUUUGAGUUGAAUAGUAACUAAAUAACUCAGUCCUCGUUUUGUCAAAUUUAUGAGUUAUUUAUAAAGAUUAAUAGUGGUGGAUCCGGAAAAAUGUGUAAAUAAUAACAGAGUAAAAAUUAUAAAUAUUUGGUUAAAAUUACAAAUUGUACUUGACUGAAUUUAUACACGUUUUAUCAGCUAGUUGCUAAAAAACAAAUUGUCCUUGACUAUAUUUAUAUAAAUGUUUUAUGUAUCAAUCGCUAAAGCCAAAUUGUAUCGACUCGUACAGGCAGGGCUAAUGUACCAUUUGGAUCAAGUUGGAAUAUCAACCAUUCACUUCUUAUCAACUGAAACCACUUUAAACAUUCCAUAAUUUUGUUGAAGUGACCAAAAUUUUUAAAUUGACAAUCUUGCCAAUGAUAAAUGAAUGUCACUACUAUGCGACCAUAACUAAAGAGCAUUUUAGAACCACAAAAAUAAAUGAAAAAGAGAAGUCCGUGAAUGGUGAGCCCUUGUUUGAACCCCGUUCUUUUAAAAAUUCAUUUUUUCAAAACUCAUUUUCAAUCACAUAUUUUUUAAUAAAAUAAUAUUACAUGCAAAUUCAAAUUUUUUCCUUAAUUUUUAACCACAAAUUCUUCAUUAAUCUACUAUUCAAAAUGCAUUCAUUCCCCCUAAAAUGGGGCUCAAACAAGGGUAAUGUCCAUCUAUUCUACCUACUUAAACAUGAAUUGCUCUUCGUCCUUGAAUCCAAAUGCAUAAGCUUGAGCCUACUUGUAAUACUAGUAGGGUAGAUCGAAACUUCGAUGGAUAAUUCAUUGUACGAGUUUUUGACAAUUCUUCAUUUGACUUUUCUUAAGAUUGUGAAUCUUUUGACAUUAUUAUAUUUCAAUCUAAGUAACGUAUAACAUAAAUUUUAUGUCAUAUAAAAGGAGAAUUUUGAUAGGAUUGCCUCAAUAAUAUAAACCAAAUUUUGACCUCAGAAAAAUAAAAUAAAAAUCACCCUUUAAUUGCAAAUGAAAUUGCCUGUGUGAGACCAUAUCUAUGGUUUCCAUUCAAAAAUGAAAUAUUCAUUGUUGACAAUAGCCAGAAAAUAAUUCCCUAGUUUGAAGUCUAUUCAAUCAAGACGAUAUUCUAACUAUUUAAUUGUUUUAAAUAUCGUAAACAUGAGGUUUUUUUUUUUUUUUUUUUUGUGAGACGAGGAGAAAAAAUAGUCCAGCAUUUUGGCUAAAGUAGAAAAAUAUAGUCCAAUCAGACAUCGUUAGAUAAGUGUACGUGUCUAUAUAUAUAGACAAUCACACGUCUUUUAAUUGUAUUUUCAACGGGGAAAAUAUUGCAAUCAAAAAAUCCUAUACAUAUCAAACAAGCGUAUAGUUAGAAAACUAUGUCUGAUGGGUUAAAUCAUAUUUUUGUUCAGAAUUGAGACCAAAAUGAAGUUAAUAUUGUACUUAAGUUUGUUACUUAGUUAUUUUUAUAGUAGCAAAUGACGCAUCUGGAGUUACUUCUAUUGGUAGUGUUUGUGAGUCUCAAACGAAUCGGAAAAAAUAGAAUUUAGAAUAGAAAUUUAAGUGAAGAAAAUUGUUCUCUCAGAAACUCAAUUUAUAUGAUUUCAUAUUUUUCUCUAAUAAUAAAACACUACAAAUAAGCAAUUUUUUGUUAAUACUAUAUUUUGUACGUAAUAAUUAAUUGUUAACACAUGAAUUUAGACAACCAUUAGAAAUUCCUAGGAACAAGAAGAGAACUAGAUUCAUCUACAAUAACUCUACAUGCAUGUAAAUCCAAAUUCAUCAAGACAAGAUUCAUCAAGUUUAAACUAAUAUUCAAACAUCCUCCCCUAAUCUAGACUCGAAUAACACUUUUUAUCGCACUCGAUCAGUUCAGAGUAUCCCCAGCUAUCUAGCCUCAUCCGAAGACUCGUCCCUUCAACUUUCUUCUUUCCCACCGCCGCCUUGCUUGACUUCACCAUUGAAUUAUUAACCACCUCAAUUGUCGGUGGCAAUGAAGACAUGGGCUUCUUCUUCAGUGGAUCAAUUGGCUCAUUCCCUUUCCCAUCUCCCCACUCUCUCUUGAGAUCGUUUCUAUAUAUAGAUUUCUUCUUCCUUUUCAUCCAUACAAUAUAGAGGUCUCCCGGGUGGUCACUGUUGUUUUAGAUUUUAUGUUAUGCCAUUUCUUUUUACUUAAAGUCGCUUGUCAUCACCAAUCUUUACUUGACUUUAGAGAGGAUCGUCCCAAAUUGUGAAAAUAUCUUUAUUAUCACUGAUAUGAUUACUACAACCACUGUUAAGAUACAAACAUCUUUGGUGACAAACUUCUUGUGCUCUAAAGGCUAGAAAAAAGAGCCUCCUCGUCAUUAUUUUGUUCCUUAUGUAUGAAAUUGAGUUAUUUUUGUCACCAUUAUUUUUCUUAAACACGCAAUAUUCUUUAGCAUGGCCAAAACGAUUGCAAUUGUAGCAUCGAGAAUGAGAAAAAUUACCACAAUCUCGCAUCGGCCUCUUAAUAUGCCUCUUCCUCUUCUUCAACCUUAAAAUGAACUUGGUUCUUCCUCGCUUUCACUAUUGACACUCUGGGGCUCGAAAUUUCUACCAUUCUCCUUUCAAACUUUGACUAAAAGAAGUUUGAGAUUGAAAGGCUUGUUAUAAAGGAAUGGCAUCAAAUUGCUUCAAUGUAAGCUCACGAGAUUGGAGAGAUCCCAUCAAGUUAUUUACCAAUAAAUUGGCCAAGUCUUUUGAUUUUCAAUGGCGACAACAACGUGCUCAAAUUUUCUAGUCAUGCUGCUGAGAAUUUUCCCAACAGUUCUCUGAUCUAAAAUUUGUUCUCCAUUUACUUUCAAUUGAUUAAUAAUUGAGAGAACACGAUUAAAAUACUCCUCCAUCAACUCAGAGUUUUUCAUAUUAAGUGUAUAAAAUUCAGAUCUCAGAGCUUGCAAUCUUAACAUUUUUACUUUAUCUUUAACUUGACAAGUUGAUUGCAAAGUGUUCCAUGUACCAUUCUGAAUUUGUUGUGGAAAUUCAUAAGCCUUCUUGUCCUUCUUGUGAUUUUCCUUUAAUUCGUUAUUUUGUUGCCGAGUAAGAGCAACUUGAUCUUGUGGCUCAAUAAAUCCGUUCUCAAGAAUUUCCCUUAACUCUUGGGAACCGUAUAAAACUUUCAUUUGUUGACUACAAUUCUUCCCAUCGAAGCAAGGAAGUUAAGGUUGCAACACAUUGUUGUUGUUGGAUGCUAUAUCGUAAACCCAUUCCAAUAUCAAUUUGCUGAAAGGUUUUGAUGAGCCUCAAAAGAAUCAAAGAAAAUGAAAUUUAGAUAGAAAUUUAAGAUAAAAAACAUUAUUCUCUCAAAACUCAACUUUUAUGAUUUCAUAUUUUUUCCUAAUAAUAAAAUAUUACAAAUGAUCAAAUCUUUUUAUUACGUUUGCUAUAUAAGAAUUAAUUGUUAAUACAUGAAAUUAAAUAACAAUUUAAAAUUUUGAGAAAAAGACAUACAAUGGAUGAUAUUCGUACACCUGACUAGUCAAGUUUGGCACAAUAUACUGGUACAUGUUGAUUGAUUAAUAACAAGAUCUGUAUUAAAUUUGAAUUAAUCCGUCUCAAACUUGAUUAACUGCCCAUGUUGAGAUCCUUAGUUGGCAACAACCAAUUUUUUAGAUGCUAAUAAUUCCACGAGACUUGAAAUUACCUCACAAAAUUGUAAGUAGAAAUUUGUUAGUGAUUUUUCAAAAUUCAUUGUUUUAAAAAUUCAUUCUUAAUCAUACAUUUUUUUUAACAAAAUAAUUUUGUAUGUAAACUCACAAUCUUUCAUAUUUUAAAAUCAUAUAUUCUUUAAAAAAAUUCACUUUUCAUAAAAUUUAUUUUAAAAAUAUCUAAAUUAAACAAAACCUGAAAGAGGAUAAACGCCAAAUUGGUCAAAGCUGAAGGGUAAAAGAGUAAAUGGAGGUUACAAAAGAAAAUGAAGAGGGUGGUUAUAUUACCAACACAAUUUUUUAUCAGUUACAUAAUAUUGUAUUUGCAGUUAAAGUUCCUAAUCUUUGUUCAUUGUAGCAAUUAAAUGCUCAAUUUUCUUUCGUCAAAUUCUUAUCUUCAACUUGUCAUUAAUUAGUAUAUCUUGUCCUUGAUGGUGAUUUAUAUCAAAAUAUUUUGUUCCUAUGAUUUUAAAUAAGGAAACAAAAUUCGUACUAUUUAAUUUAUUUAAUAUUUUAAAAUAUGAUGGAAGAAGAAGUUGUUAAACAUUGUUUUAAAAUAUGAAGCAAUGAAACUCUUAAAUCUUUGUUCCGUGCAGUAAUUAUUUCCAUAAUUUUUUCGUCGAAUUCUUAUCUACAAACUUCCGGUAAUUGGUAUAUCUCAUCCUUGAUGGUGAUUUAUGUCAAAAUAUUUUAUUUUAAAAAUUUAAAAUAAGUGAAAAAUAUGCUGACAUGAACUAUUAUUAAAUACAAAAUACGUUAAGUAAUAAAACAUUUGAGGAUAAGAAUAUCAUGAAAAAUCGACAAGGACAUAACUGUUAUAAUGAGUAAAGAUUGAACCUUAAAUAUAAUUAAAAUAGGGUGCAAGGAAUAAAAUUGUAAUAUGAACAUAAUUAUCCAAAUUGGGAUGACAAAAUAGAUGGUGACAGGGUAGGAAAAAACAACUAAAUGUCCAAUCAAUACAUAUGAAUAGGCGUCCCCAGGGCACAUCUCCAAGUGGUAAAAGAGAAGGGUGGAAAAAUCCAACUUUGCUUGAGAUUGCAGCGUCAAGGGUUCGAAUCCUGAAACAUGGAUUUGGCUCUUGGGUAAGUGCAAGUGUACAAGCAGCCUUCCACCAUUUACCCUUGGAGGCAUAACUGCGAUUUACCUCCCUCACGAUACUCCAGAACAGGGGCGAUGGGGGACCCUUAAGGUUGGGGUUCAACAUUUUUUUUUUUAAUACAUAUGAAUAGGCAACCUUGGAAUUUAGGUAGACCUAUAGAGCCACCACUAUCGGGCCGCUCAUCUCAUUUCUAAAGUUGAUUCCUAAAACUAUUCAAUCCUAUUGAACCUAAGAAAUGUAGCAGUUCAAAUUUUUUUUCUACAGGCCUAACGUGGCAGUACAUAGGAAUGUUGGAUGAUGUUAUAGUCUACUUUGUUUGUAGUUUGAACUCUAUUAAUUAUGAUACAUACAAUUUUAUUUUUUUAAACUCAUUUUUAAUCAAAAUUUUCUAAUUAAAUCACAAAAUUUAAUCACACUCCUUGUCUCAAAACCUCGAGUUUUCAAUUUUGUGACGUGUCUUCAUUUUAAAAGAGAACCAAAAUGAUAUGAAAAAAUGAUUAUCAUCUCCCAUUGUAGUGGUUUUAAUCUUAUCAAAUGCAUUAUUUUAGUUCAAAAGCACCUGUGAAAUAUUUGAGUUGAGCAUUAACUAAACAAUUUAGUGACUACUUUUCAAAUUUAUAAGUGAUUUAAAAAGACUAAUAGUAGGGAAUCCUAAAUCAUAUGUGGAUACCAACCGAGUAAAAAAUUGCGAAUAUCCAUUUGAUCGCAAAAAACAAAUUGUACUUAACUGAAUUUACAUAAAUGCCCCUUAUCAAUUGAUUGCUAAAAACAAAUGGAUUAGAAUCGUACACAUGCACGAUCAGUGAACUAUUUGGAUCAAGGUGGAAUAUCAUCCGUGAACUUCUUGAUGAGGUUCAUGUGGAGGAACAGACACUUGGGUGUAUGGAAUGCUUGGAUAGUCUGCGUUCAAAAAAAUUGACGUAACUUUUGUAUAUGGUGUCCAUUUUGGGCCCAUAAUUCCAUUCCGUUUUGACCGUUUGAAUUCGUUUAUUGGGUCAAAAUGACAUUUAAAGUUUUUUAGUUUAUUAUUUUUAGUAUUUGUUAUUCUCACUUUGUAGCCCAGCUCAUUAAGAAACUAUUAGCCCGAUAGGUUAUCUAUUCUUUUCAUAUUUAAGACUCUUAAACGUCUCCUAGGGUUUUUUGGUCGUUCAUAAAAUAAAAAAAAAAACUUUUGUUUUUUGAGUUCAAUCCAUUUGAGUUGUUAGUAUCUUGUGUUUUAGAUUCGAUCUACAUUAAUUCUUAUCGACUCAAAUGAUUUAAAAAAAAGGGGACUCAAACAACCCCUUAAUCUUUGUUACUUGUAGUAAUUAUUUCCAAAAUUUUUCAUUGAAUUCUUAUCUACAACUUUCCAUUAAUCAGUAUAUCUCAUCCUUGAUGGUGAUUUUUGUGAAAAUAUUGUUUUUCGAAAAAUUGAAAUAAGUGAAAAAUAUUUUUUCAUACUUUUUAUUUUUAUUUUUUAAAUAGAUGGGAAAAUAAGUUGUUAUAUAUUAUGUAAAUGGAUUUUUGGACAUAAAUUAUUCUUAAAUACAAAAUAUGUUAACUAAUAAAAAGUUCGAGGAUAAGAAUAUCAUGAAAAGUCGACAUUGAUAUAAUUGUUAUAAUGAGUAAAGAUUGAACCUCAAAUAUAAUUAAACUAUAGUGCAAGGAACAAAAAUGUGAUGUGAACUAGAGGCGGACCCAGACCUUUAGUAUUGUGGGGGUCAAAAUUUUAAAAAUAAUUUUUUAAAAAAAAAUGACAUAAUAUCAAUGAAAAUAAGUUUAUAUGUAUUUUGACAUUUUGAAAACGUUGUAUAAUUACAUCAUUAUUAAUAUUAUUAAAUAAAUUUUGCUUUUUGUAUCCUCUUGUUUAUCAUUUCAUUGGCAAAUGUUGAGCUAACAUUGAGUAAAUUAAAUUGAAUAUAGAAAUUAAAUAAAUUGAAAUAAAAUUCAACUUUAAUUUAGGAAGUAAAUGAAAUUCAAAUUUAAAGCAAAUAUAAUUCGAAAGUAAUACAAAUUGCAUUUAAUCCAUAAUGACCCUAAAAAAUUUACGUCAUAUUUCACGUAAGACUUCUGAAUGAAACGAUAUAAAUUAUAUUGAAAAAUUUAUCGUGCAAAAAUAAUAAUUAAUUGAAUUUUUUUAAAAGAAAAAACGAGUUAGACGUCUUUUUUGAAACGUACGUUUGAUACAUAUAUUUAACUAUUUUCGAUAUCCAUUUGGACCAUUCGAUAUGAAAACGAUGUAAUUUUCGAAACAAACUUUUACAUGACAGACGAUUUGUGGAUUCAGAUAGCACAUGAUCGCAAAUGAAUUUUUAAAGUUAGGAUAUUAUCGAAAUUUUUAAAAUACUAAUUUCAAACGCCCUACUUUAACAUGUCACAACUUUUUUUAUAGUUGACCACUUCGCAUGACUUUAAUGAGUGAAAAAUUAGACCAUGAGCACUUCGAAAUGGUAUUGAAAAUGUAAUAUUUUGACUUCAUUUGACAUCCCGACGAGUACAUCAAAAUAGAGUGUAAAAAACAAAAAGGGGGAGGGGAAUUUUGUGGGGUCAUUUGACCCCACAUGACCCCAUGUGGGUCCGCCCUUGAUGUGAACGUAAUUAUCUAAACUGAGACGACAAAGUAGAUGGGGAUAGGAGGGAAAAAAACAACAAACAUGUCCAAUCAAUACAUAUGAAUGGGCAACCUCGAAGUUAGGUAGACCUAUUGAGCCACCUCGGUCGAGCCCCUGCGUCUUAUUUCUAAAGUUGAUUCCUCAAAUUCUUCAAUCCUCUAUUUACUCCAAAAUGGUGAAUAGUGGUGGUUUGCAUUAUCGGCUGGCUUGAGCUAUGGAGCUAUUAUAUAAUAGCUGAGUUUGAACCUAAGAAAUGUAGCAGUUCAAAUUUUUAUCAACAGGCCUAACGUGAGAGUAAAAGGUUAAACCCUAAUCUUAAGGGUCUCCCACCACACCUGCCCUGGAGUAUCGUGAGGGAGGUAAAUCGCAGGUUAUGUCUCCAAGGGUAUAGGGUGGAAGGCUGCUUGUACACUUGCACUUACCCAAAAGCCAAAUCCAUAUUUCAGAAUUCGAACCCUUGACACAGCAGCCUCAAGCAAAGUUGGAUUUCUCCACCCUCCCCUUUUACCACUUGGAGAUGUGCCCUGGGAGCGGCCUAACGUGAGAGUAGUACAUAGGAAUGGUGGAUGAAAUUAUUGUCAGAUAUUCUUUUUAAAAUUUGAACUCUAUUAAUUAUGAUACAAUUAGUCAUGUUUGGUUCCAUUCUACAAUUUCAUUUUUUUAAAACUUAUUUUUAAUCACAAUUUUUUAAUCAAAUCAAAAAAUUUUAAUCACGCUCAUUGUCUCAAAACAUCGAGUUUUCAAUUAUGUGGUAUGACGUUAUUUUAAAAGAAAACCAAAAUGAUAUUAAAAAAUGAUUCUCACCACCUUCAGUUGUUGGGUUUUAAUCUUUAUCUAAUGCAUUAUUUUAGUUCAAAAGCACCUGUGAAAUUAUUUGAGUUGAAUAGUAACUAAACAACUUAGCGAUUGUUUUUCAAAUUUAUAAGUGAUCAAUACAGAUUAAUAGUAGAGAAUCCCAAAAAAUAUGUAGAUACUAACAAAGUAGAAAAUUACGAAUAGUUGGUUAAAAUUACAAAUUAUACUUGAUUGAACGUUUUACCAACUGAUUGCUAAAGACAAAUUGUAAACUAUAUUUAUAUAAAUGUCUUAUCAAUUGAUUGCUAAAACCUAACCACGAUUAUUGUACUAUUUGGAUCAACGUGAAAUAUCAUCCAGUAACUUCUUUUCAACUCAAAUAGUUUAAAAAGUGUCACCAAAAUUUUUAAUUGAUAAUCUUUUCAGUGAUGAAUGAAUGUCACUACUAUAUGACCAAAACGAAAGAGCGUUUUAGAACCAAUAAGAAAAAAGGAAAAAAAAAAGUCAGUGUAUCGUGCCUUAAAUAUCCGUCUUAUCUAUCCACUUAAACGCGAACUGCUCCUCAUUCGUGAAUCUAAGCGACGUAUAACAUAACCUUUUAUAUCGCAUAAUAAGAAAUCAUCAAUAGAAUUUUGAUAGGAUUGCCUCAAUAAUAUAAACCAAAUUUUGAUUUAAAAGAACUCCGUUCAAUUGCAAAUGAAAUUGCUCGCUUGAGACCAUAUCUAUGGAUUCCAUUCGGAAAUUGAAAUUAUCACUAAUGACAAUACCCAGAAAACAAUUCUCUAGUUUGAAGUUUCUUCUAUAAAGGCGUCAUUCUAACUAUUUAACUGUAUUUUAAAUGAUGUACACAUGAGUUUUUAUUUAUUUGUAACAAUGAGCAUUAAUAGUCUGCAUUUCGGCUAAAGUAGAAAAAUAUAAUCCAAUGACGCAUCGUCAGACAAGUGUACGUGUCUAUAAAAGAAUCCUAUACAUAUCCAAAAAAAUAAAUAAAAAUAAAUUGGCGCACUAGGAUGAUUGGAAUAUAAUUAUACAAAUCGGGAUGACAAGGAAGAUGGGGACAGGAGAGGAAGAAAACAACAAAUAUGUCCAAUCAAUACCUAACACAAUGCAGACCUGAAUUAAAGUAGACUUAUAAAGCCAUCUCCACCAAGCCGCUGCGUCUCAUUUCUAAAGUUGAUUUCUCAAAUUCUUCAAUCCUAUUUUGCUCCAAAUUGGCGAAUGGUGAUGGUUUGCAUCAUCGGCUCCAAACUGAGUACAAAACGCAAAUUGUAUAGAAUCGUACAUGCAAGAACAGUGGACUAUUUUCAACUUUAAAUAUCAGCCACACAAUUCUUAUCAUCUGAAACCAUUUAAAACACGUGCAAGUAUUUGUGCAUUCUAUAUAUUCUACAUUUCUUGAGAAGUUUCAGUAGCUUGAGUUUGAAGAAGAGAUGCCUAUAGUUGUGAGAAUUCUGUCGUUGGGAUGGGCUAUCAUGAUGAUUAUGAGUAUUGCAAAUGUAGCAGAUGGAGCAAUUCCUAAUGAUUUGCUGGAAAAGAUUUCUAUAAUAAACAAAGAUGGUCCUUACUUGGGUAUUGUAGUGCCCAACAGUUUUGAGAUGAACCCUCUUCUCCAAUCUUCAAGUUUUGUUCCUCAUCCCAUGCUUUC
Molecule: long non-coding RNA, 51861 nt
Filed under: Olea europaea (common olive)
Lineage: Eukaryota; Viridiplantae; Streptophyta; Magnoliopsida; Lamiales; Oleaceae
Description: long non-coding RNA (OEUR_LNC009943)
Source: RNAcentral